This 54525-nucleotide long non-coding RNA is filed under the name Triticum aestivum (bread wheat). RNAcentral's name for it is "long non-coding RNA (TAES_LNC020541)". The record is from RNAcentral. Lineage: Eukaryota; Viridiplantae; Streptophyta; Magnoliopsida; Poales; Poaceae.
GGCCUGUAAAGAUCUACAACUAGACAGUUGUGAGAAGCGGGAGCAACGUCCUGCCAUGCAAUACCACCAAGCAAGUGGCUGAAAGUGAAAUUGCUGGCUUGAAUAAAUUGUGUACCAUAUGAUGGCAGGACUGGUUGCUCAAGUUAAUGACAGAGCCUGUAAGCUAGCAUUUCUGUGCACUCUGCCCUGGAUAUAUAAAGUUUGUGCAGAGAUGACCCAACAAACCAUCACCUUUUAGUAGAUAAGGAGGCUAUUUUUCUUUUCUUGCACUAGGUGCUCUAUACAGUCAAAUAGUUGGUUAUAGGAGAAGUUCAUGUACAGCGACAACAACAAAGUUCAUGUUGUCAGAAAAUAAAGUCCAUGUAUAUGGAAGUUGAUGAUUGUUGUUUGUAUGCAGGGGGGCACAAAAAAACCUGUGGCUGACAAGUUUUCCUAUUAUUUAGCCGCAACAAUCUUUCUUGACCUCUUUGACAAUCUUUUACCUUGUUAUAUCUUGCAGAUAGUCGAUUGAAGAGUGUUUUCCUUGAGAGUGGAACCUCAGAGGUAAUAAAAUAUGGACAACACCUUCGACAUGGCAAUAUCUUCUUGCAACUUCUACUGAACUUAAUACCAAGAUAGUAGCCAUUCUUUCAACUUCUGGACUUCAUUUUUAAGAGCCAUUCUAGAUUCCUAACAACAUCUCUACAAUAUUUCAGGAAUUCUCGCUUCUUCUUCCACAGCUCGAGAGAUCAAAGGCCAUUGUCGACAAAGCUAAGCUCAAGAGUGCAACUUCAGUCGAAGAUAUGCAUUAGAGACCUUUAUUAUGAAAACCCACAUCCAAUUAUAUAUCAGGAUCUUUCCAACACAUAGUGCUUGCCAAAGGAUAAAGUGUAAAAAGGAACGGUGAAGAUCACCAUGAGUUUUGUAUAAGGUAUAAGACAAAAAUAAAAGAUAGUCCCUUCGCAGAGGGAAGCAGAGGUUGCCAUGUGCUUUUAUGGUUGGAUGCACAAAAUCUUAAUGUAAAAGAACGUCACUUUAUAUUGCCAUUUGUGAUAGGGACCUUUAUUAUGUAGUCCGUCGCUUUUUAUUUCUUCCAUAUCACAAGCUCGUAUAAAGCUUAUUUUCUCCACACUAAUAGAUCAUACAUAUUUAGAGAGCAAUUUUUAUUGCUUGCAACAAUGACAACUUACUUGAAGGAUCUUAUUCAAUCCAUAUGUAGAUAUGGUGGACUCUCAUGGCAAAACUGGGUUUAAGGAUAUUUGGAAGCACAAGUAGUAUCUCUACUUGGUGCAAAGAAUUUGGCUAGAAUGAGGGGGAAAGGCAAGCUCAACAUGUUGGAUGAUCCAUGACAAUAUAAUUUAUUUCGGAUAUAAGAAAACAUAACCCAUUACGUUGUCUUCCUUGUCCAACAUCAACUUUUUAGCAUGUCAUAUUUUAAUAAGUGCUCACAAUCAUAAAAGAUGUCCAAGAUAGUAUAUUUAUAUCUGAAAACCUCUCUUUCUUUAUAACUUCAUAUUAAUUGCAACGAUGACCAAAACUAUGUUUGUCAGCUCUCAACAACUUUUAUUCAUCAUACUCUUUAUAUGUGAAGUCAUUACUCUCCAUAAGAUCAAUAUGAUCUCUUUAUUUCUUUUUAUUCUUUUUAUUCUUUUAUUCCCUCAAGAUCAUAGCAAGAUAACCAAGCCCUCGACUUAAGACUAAUAUUUAUUAUAUAUAGCUCACGGACUCGAUUACAUAGAUAAGGAUCAACACAAAACUCAAAGCUAGAUCAUACUAAACUUUAUUCUACUAGAUCAAGAUAUAACCAAAAGGAUCGAACUAAGAAAAACGGUAAAGGUAGAAGUGUGAUGGUGAUACGAUACCGGGGCACCUCCCCUAAGCUUGGAAGUUGUCAAGGGGAGUGCCCAUACCCACGUAUUUAUGUCUCUUUCUUCGGAGGUGGUGAUGAUGGAGUUGUUGAUGAUGUAGGCUUGUCGCCCAUCUUCCAAGGCAUAGGCUCACCAUCAUAGAAGGAUGAUCGAGUCUUCGGGAUCCUCAAAUCUGCAACCAAACUCAUCCUCUUGAAUCUAUAUUCAUACUCACACUUUUGGUUUUGCAGGUCAUAGAUCUGGGCUUGGAGGUGCUUGAUUUUCUCGUGAAGCUUGAAGAUGAUCUCCCCAAUGUUCUUGGCAUCCAGCUUGUGGUUGUUGGUGAACUCCGCGAUCAUCAUGUGGUUGGCGUUGAGUCCGUGUUCCACCAUCCCCUAGCACUUGAAAACUUGUUGCUCCAUUUGCUUCGAGUCUUGUCUCCACGCUUUCGGUCCUCCUUGGUCCCUCAACAUCGCGAAUGUGCAGCACCACCUCACGCAUCUCAAUGGUUUGAGGGUGUUGCAGCACCUCCGCGAGGUAGGGGUUGAUGACCUUCUUGAAAAAUUUGUCCUUGGGGGCGGUUGAAGACGUCAUGGUGAUCUAGAUCUGUCAGAAAAAACAGCUCGUAACAAAAGCAGGAGAUAUUUGCGUGGUACGAUGGUCAAAACCUUCGGAAGAUUAUAUAAUGAAUUUUUGCCGACCAAAAGAAGUAUGUGCAAGAAAACGGAGUCCGGAGGGCACACGAGGUGCCCAUGACGCAGGGGGCGCGCCCUCCACCCUCGUGGAUGCCUCGUGUCCCUUUCGGACUACUUCUUAUUUUCCCAUUUUCUUAAAUAUUCCAAAACGAAGAAAAAAUGCUAUUAGAACUGUUUUGGAGUCGGUUUACUUACCGUACCACAUACCUAUUCCUUUUCGGAGUCUGAAACGUUCUGGAAAGUGUCCCUUAUGUACUCCUCUGGGGUUACCAUAUCAAUAACAUUGGUUUCAACAUUUAUGGGAUUACCGAGAUAUAAUGAUUGAUUCUUUGAUCGUUCACCACCUUUGGAUUUGUGCCUUCAAAGUUGUUGAUUUUUAUGGCACCGGAAUGACAGACCUCCUCGAUAAUGUAAGGAAAUUCCCAUUUAGAGAGGAAUUUUCUUGCAAAAAAAUCUUAAAUGAGAGUUGUAUAACAAAACAUAAUCACCUACAUUAAACUCACGCUUUUGUAUCCUUUUGUCAUGCCAUCUUUUAACUUUUUCUUUAAAUAGCUUGGCAUUCUCAUAGGCCUGGGUUCUCCACUCAUCAAGUGAGCUAAUGUCAAAUAGUCUCUUCUCACCAGCAAGUUUGAAAUCAUAAUUGAGCUCUUUAAUGGCCUAAUAUGCCUUAUGUUCUAGUUCGAGAGGUAAGUGACAUGCAUUUCCAUAAACCAUUUUAUACAGAGGCAUACCCAUAGGAUUUUUAUAUGCAGUUCUAUAGGCCCAUAAUGCAUCAUCAAGUUUCUUGGACCAAUUCUUUCUAGAUCUAUUAAUAGUCUUUUGCAAAAUUAAUUUAAUCUCUUUAUUACUCAGUUCUACUUGACCACUAGACCGUGGGUGGUAUGGAGAUGCAAUUCUAUGAUUAACAUCAUACUUAGCAAGCAUUUACGAAAAGCACCAUGAAUAAAAUGUGAAUUGCCAUCAGUCAUUAAGUAUCUAGGGACUCCAAACCUCGGCAAAAUAACUUCUUUAAGCAUCUUAAUAGAGGUGUUAUGAUUAGCACUACUAGUUGGAAUAGCUUCUACCCACUUAGUAACGUAAUCAACAACAACUAAAAUAUGUGUAUACCCAUUAGAGGAAGGAAACGGUCCCAUAUAAUCAAAGCCCCAAACAUCAAAUGAUUCAAUAGUAAGUGAAUACUUCAUAGGCAUUUCUUGACGUUUACUAAUAUUACCAAUUCUUUGACAUUCAUCACAAGACAAGACAAACUUACGGACAUCUUUGAAAAGAGUAGGCCAAUAAAAACCGGAUUGCAAUACCUUAUGUGCAGUUCUAUCUCCAGCAUGGUGUCCUCCAUAAGCCUCAGAGUGACACUUGCGUAUGAUCUGUUCCUGUUCAUGCUCAGGUACACAAUGUCUAAUAACACCAUCUACUCCUUCUUUAUAAAGGUGCGGGCCAUCCCAGAAGUAAUGUCUUAAAUCAUAGAAAACCUUUUUCUUUUGCUGGUAUGUGAAACUAGGUGGUAUAAAUUUAGGAACAAUGUAAUUAGCAUAAUCAACAUACCAUGGAGCAGUACGAGAAGCAUUUAUGACAGCUAAUUGUUCAUCAGGAAAACUAUCAUCAAUAGGGAGUGGGUCAUCGAGAACAUUCUCUAACCUAGACAAGUUGUCUGCAACGGGGUUCUCAGCUCCCUUUCUAUCAAUAAUAUGCAAAUCAAAUUCUUGUAGCAAGAGAACCCAUCUAAUAAGUCUAGGUUUAGCAUCUUUCUUUCCCAUAAGAUAUUUAAUAGUAGCAUGAUCAGUGUGAAUAGUUACUUUAGAAUCAACAAUAUAAGGUCUGAACUUAUCACAAGCAAAUACAACUGCCAAAAAUUCUUUUUUAGUAGUAGCAUAAUUUCUCCGAGCACUGUCUAGAGUUUUACUAGCAUAUUGGAUAACAUUUAAUUUCUUAUCAACUCGUUGUCCUAGAACAACACCUACAUCAUAAUCACUAGCAUCACACAUAAUUUCAUAGGGUAAAUUCCAAUCUGGUGGCUAAACUAUAGGUGCAUAAAUCAAGGCUCUCUUAAGUAUUUCAAAUGCUUCAACACAAUCAUCAUCAAAGACAAAAGGAACAUCUUUUUGUAAGAGAUUAGCCAGAGGCCUAUAAAUUUUUGAGAAGUCUUCAAUAAACCUCCUAAAAAACUGGCAUGACCAAGGAAACUUAUUAUACCUUUAAUGUCCUUGGGACACGACAUAUUUUUAAUAGCAUCAACUUUAGCUUUAUCAACUUCAAUACCUCUUUCAGAAAUUUUAUGCCCCAAGACAAUCCCUUCAUUAACCAUAAAGUGGCACUACUCCUAAUUCAAGACAAUAUUAGCUUCUUCACAUCUCUGCAAAACUCGAUCAAGGUUGCUUAAGCAGUCAUCAAAAGGAGUUCCAUACACGGAGAAAUCAUCCAUGAAAACCUCAACAAUCUUUUCACAAAAGUCAGAGAAUAUAGCAGUCAUACAUCUUUGAAAGGUAGUAGGUGCAUUGCAUAAACCAAAAGGCAUACGUCUAUAAGAAAAGGUACCGAAAGGGCAAGUAAAAGUAGUCUUUUCCGAUCCUUUUUAGACAUAGGUAUUUGAAAGAAACCAGAAUAACCGUCUAGAAAGCAAAAAUGUGUAUGUUUGGAUAAUCUUUCUAGCAUUUGAUCAAUAAAAGUUAAAGGGUAAUGAUCCUUUCUAGUAGCUUUAUUUAAUUUGUGGAAAUCAAUUACCAUUCCAUAACCUGUAACAAUUCUUUGUGGGAUCAAUUCAUCUUUAUCAUUAGGAACAACAGUAAUACCUCCCUUCUUAGGGACACCAUGGACAUGACUUACCCACUGACUAUCAGCAACAUGAUAAAUUAUACCUGCCUCCAGAAGCUUUAGUAUUUCAUUUCUUACCACUUCUUUCAACUUAGGAUUUAACUGUCGUUGGUGAUCAACAACCGGUUUAGCAUCUUUCUCAAAUUUUAUUUUGUGCUGGCAUAGAGUGGGACUAAUGCCCUUAAGAUCAUCAAGAGUAUAUCCAAUAGCAGCACGGUGCUUCUUCAGAUUUUUCAAUAAUUUCUCUUCUUCCUGCUCUAAAAGGUUAGCACUAAUAAUAACAGGAUAUAUCUUCUUUUCAUCAAGAUAAGGAUAUUUAAAAGUAUCAGAUAAUGGUUUAAGCUCAAACACGGGAUCACCCUUGGGUGGAGGAGGAUCCCCUAGAAUUUCAAUAGGCAAGUUGUGUUUCAAAAUAGUUCCCUGUUUAAAGAAUACUUCAUCUAUUUCCCUUCUUUCAUUCAUAAACAUAUCAUUUUCAUGGUCUAGCAAAUAUUGUUCUAAAGGAUCAUUAGGAGGCACGACAAUAGAAGCAAGACCAAUAAUUUCAUCUUUACUAGGCAAUUCUUUAUCAUGGGGUUGCCUACAAAAUUUAGCAAAAUUAAAAUCAUGAGACAUAUCCCCUGAACCAACAGUAGCAAUAUCCUUUUUGCAGUCUAUCUUAGCACUAAUAGUAUUCAAGAAGGGUGUACCAAAUAUAAUUAGACAAAAGUCAUCUUGUGGGGAACCAAGAACAAGAAAAUCAGUAGGAUAUUUAACUUUCCCACACAAGACUUCAACAUCUCUAACAAUCCCAAUUGGUGAAAUAGUAUCUCUAUUGGCAAGCUUAAUUGUAACAUCAAUACCUUCUAUCUCAGCAGGUGCAAUAUCAUGCAUAAUUUCUUCGUAUAAGGAAUGAGGUAUUGCACUCGCACUAGCACCCAUGUCACAUAAGCCAUGAUAGCAAUGAUCUCCUAUUUUAAUAGAAAUGACAGGCAUGCCAACAACAAGUCUAUGUUUAUUUUUAGUAUCGGGUCUAGCAAUUCUAGCAGCUUCAUCACAGAAGUAAAUAACAUGGUCAUCAAUAUUAUCGACCAAGAGAUCCUUAACCAUAGCAAUACUAGGUUCAACUUUAAUUUGCUCAGAGGGUGUAGGUGUUCUAGCAUUACUCUUACAAACCAUAGUUGAAGCUUUAGCAUGAUCCUUUAUUCUAACAGGGAAAUGUGGUUUCUCAAUAUAAGCGGUUGGAAUAAUAGGAUCAACAUUAUAAGUGAUAGUCUUUUCUUCAACUUUAAUAGGUUUGACUACUUUUACUUCAACGGGAGGAUGAUAUUUAAACCACUUCUCCUUAGGGAGAUCAACAUGAGUAGCAAAUGAUUCACAGAAAGAAGCUACUAUCUCAGAGUCAAGUCCAUAUUUAGUGCUAAAUUCACGAAAAGCAUCGGUAUCCAUAAAAGAUUUAACACAAUCAAACUUAGGUGUUAUACCUGACUCCUUACCUUCAUCGAGUUCCCAAUCUUUAGAGUUGCGUUUAAUUCUUUCCAAUAAAUCCCAUCUGAAUUCAGUAGUCUUCAUCAUAAAAGAAGCAGUACAAGAAGUAUCGAGCAUGGAGCGAUUAUUAAGAGAAAGCCGAGCAUAAAUUUUUUGAAUAAUAAUUUCCCUUGAGAGCUCAUGAUUGGGGCAUGAAUAUAACAUUAACUUAAGCCUCCCCCAAGCUUGAGCGAUACUUUCUCCUUCGCAAGGCCAAAAAUUAUAUAUAUAUAAUUAUGAUCACGAUGAACCAGAAGCAUAGGAUAAAACUUCUGAUGAAAUUCCAAUUUCAAUCGGUUGUAGUUCUAUGAUCCAAUAUCAUCACAUAGCCUAAACCAUGUCAAUGCCUUUCCCUUCAAAUAUAAAGGGAAGACCUUCUUCUUGAUAACAUCCUUGGGCAGACCUGCAAGCUUAAAUAAUCCACAAACUUCAUCCACAUAGAUUAGGUGCAUAUCGGGAUGUAAUGUUCCAUCUCCUGUAAAAGGAUUAGCUAGCAGUUUCUCUAUCAUACCCGAAGGAAUUUCAAAGUAAACAUUUUCAGUAGGUUCAAUAGGUUGAGGAGCAACUCUUUGCUCUACUGGUCGGGGUGAAGAUACCCUAAACAAGCCCCUCACAGGAUUAUUUUCCAUAGUAACAAGUGAUAGUAAAUUUCAGCACACUAUAUAUAUUUUUCCUUACCAAAUUGCACCUACCAAAGGCGCUUCACUCCCCGGCAACGGCGCCAGAAAAGAGUCUUGAUGACCCACAAGUAUAGGGGAUCUAUCGUAGUCCUUUAGAUAAGUAAGAGUGUUGAACCCAAUGAGGAGCAGAAGGAAAUGACAAGAAGUUUUCAGUAAGGUAUUCUCUGCAAGCACUGAAAUUAUCGGUAACAGAUAGUUUUGUGAUAAGGUAAUUCGUAACGGGUAACGAGUAACAAAAGUAAAAAAGGUGCAGCAAGGUGGCCCAAUCCUUUCUGUAGCAAAGGACAAGCCUGGACAAACUCUUAUAUAAAGGAAAGCGCUCCCAAGGACACAUGGGAAUUAUCGUCAAGCUAGUUUUCAUCAUGCUCAUAUGAUUCGCGUUCGUUACUUUGAUAAUUUGAUAUGUGGGUGGACCGGUGCUUGGGUACCGCCCUUCCUUGGACAAGCAUCCCACUUAUGAUUAACCCCCCUCGCAAGCAUGCGCAAAUACGAAAGAAGCAUUAAGAUAAACCUAACCAUAGCAUGAAACGUAUGGAUCCAAAUCUGCCACUGUUGAUGAGUUGCAAAUGGGCACAGAUUUCCCACAUCCUUUUAAUAUGAUCUUGCUCUGCACAGUCAUACUUCGCACAAAACUCUUGCCAAUUUGCAACUCAUCAAUAGUGGCAGAUUGCAUCAGUACAAUUUUCAUUUCUUCUUCCAUUCCUUCCCUCAAAGCCAUGUAUGCACCCAUGUUAUCCUUCAUAUUCUUCAGCACGUGCCAUAUGCAGAACCUAUGGAGAGAAUCUCCGAAUACUCGAGGAACAUCCACUUUCAUUGUUGAAUCUUGAUCAGUCAAGACUAUCCCUGGUUUCUGGCCUUGCAUGACUUCUACAAAAGUCUCAAACAACCAUGUGAAAGUAUCUGCUUUCUCAUUUUGCAAUAGCGCCCAACCAAACACUAUUGUUCGCCCAUGUCAAUUGAUUCCAACAAUCGAUGAAAAUGAUAUGUUGUACUUGUUAGUGCUAUAGGUUCUGUCAAAGGAUAUGAUUUCUCCAUACAACUUGUAGUCCAAUCUGAACCGAGCAUCUGUCCAGAAAAUGCUUCGCACAGUGUCAUCAUCACCUAUUUGCAUCUUAUAGAUGAAACCAGGGUUCUCAUGCUGCAACUUCUCGGUAUACUGCCGAGUCCACUCAAUAUCUAUGUUCUUCAUCUUCUUUAUCCGCUCAUCCUGUUUCAGGCUAUCAAGAUUUUUUAUUUAAAAUUUCAAAUUACCAAAGUUCCCACCACGCAGCCUCCUAAAUAUGCUCAUAAUUCUUCGUGGUUUCACCCUAUUUUCUUGCAGCAACUUAGACAGGAGUAUUUCUUCUUCACUCAUGUGUUUAUAGCUGAGGAAGAAUUUGGUGAGUGAAGGCGAGCUCACAAAGCUAUGGUUAUGUUCCAGACAAACAUACAUAAUGAACCAUUUCCCUUCAUUUAGCUUCACUGUCACAUUCAUAGGGCAGUUUGUUCUCUCGAUUACACUCCUCUUCCUUUUCCUAAUACCCGAGUUGGUUUCACAUGUCUUCCUACUCUUGAAGCACUGUAUAGUGAUCUUCCUCUACUUGUAGUUUCUUCCUUUUUUCAUUGCAAAACCAUUCAUCUGUGCAUAUACAUUCACAAAUUUGACUACCUCAUCUAGCUUAGAGAAAACCAUGCCAACAGCGGGUGUACUUGACUUCUCCAAUUCAUCUGGUGUAGGGAAUACAUAUUCUUCCUUCCCAUUGCAUGCUCCAAUUUCAUCACCAGAAUCUUCAUUUUCAGAUAGAUGCUCAGCAUUUGAAUUCCCAACAAGAUCAACUAACUACAAGAAAAAAAAGAACACAAUCACAGAAUUCUAUGUCAGAUUUCCUAUCAUGCUAACUUCUAACUUUUUGUGUGCACCAACCAGAUCAAGAAAAAACAUACUAUUUUCUUUGCUUCUACAUUUUUAUUCAAAGUGUGUGCUAUACCUGUUCGCAAAAUUGUUCUGAUGUAUGUGAUGUAGAAACUAUUACACUGAAUCCAUUAUCAGAAACACUAGCCUGCAUCAAAUGAACACUUUCGUUCAAACAUAAUGUGCAUUUAAUUCCUCAACAUAAGUCCAAUUUAUGAUACAAGAUUACAAUAAAGGCAUGAUUUACCUUGUCAACAGCCUUAGAUUGCUGUCUCCCAUUCACAACAGCUAGUUCAAUAUUAGUAGCAACUUCCUACAAUUUUUACAUUUUCUUUGUUAAUUUAACAACUAUGAAUCUGGACAUUUCCAAUUAUUUACAAUAAAACAAACAGUAAAAAACACUAUCAGGUUCCUAGCUGGAGUAUAAAACUUACUUUCAGAGACCCAUGAAUACAAAGUUCUUCCACCAUUACAGGAAUGGUAUCACUAAUGUCUUCGGUUACAAUCAAAUCACGGUUAUGAGUAUUUUCUUCCUGAGUGCCACAAUAAGAACCACCAUAACUUUUGCUUACACCUUCCUGACUGCUUAUGAUUACCUGUUUUUUUAAAGACCAUCAUAUCUAUCAAUCAAAGGUCAAUGGCACAUGAAAAUGGAAAUUGCAUUUUGGUAAUCCCAAAGAACUUGUUAAGCUAGCCUCAGCUUCUUUUCUCAUCGACUGAUGCAAUACGUACUGAUCAAAUUCAGCCAUGAAAACAUCAUCUUUUUCCUGCAAAUUUGUUUUUCAUCCAUCAGAGUAAGUUCUUCUCUAAAGUUACUAAUAGCUACAAUGAAUUUUCAAAACUUUGAAACUUUAGAAACUAGAGUUUUGGAUAUAACGUCAUUUUCUUCCUAGUACUUCUUUUUGCUGGUUUCCCAAGUUUGGCUUCUCCAGAUGCCAUUUUUUCGCUUCAUCAUUUGAAAAUCAUCAAAAAUGCUUUAAUGAAUUUUCCUGUGACAUAUGCUACAGAACAACACAACAUGUACUGAUAAGUGAACAGUACCAUUUAAUCAUUUUCAGUACAAAUCAUUUCACGUUUAAUUCUGAUAAAUCAUAGAGAACAACAAAAUUGUUUACAUAUUAGUUAUUUUAGACUAUGUUUUAUGAUACUAUUCGUUUUGUUUCAAGCAUUGUCCAUUCGUUCAAAUUAAAUAUGAACAGAGUCAAACAUGUCAUGUGACAGUUCUACUUCGGACUACGGAAACGAUAUCAACCUUUUGCAUUUUCUUGGGCAUUCCAUUAGCCUGUCUGAGAGAUUGAGUUAUUGUCUAUAUUUUUCAAUCUGUAAGAUGGUGACACUACUAUGAAUGAGACAAAGAAUCCAACAAGAUUUUUCACCAUCUUAACUUACAUUCAAGACCAUCUUCACCUUUCUUUUUCUUCUUCUUACCCUGUUUGCUGACUGAACUAGGUGAUAGUUCAUUAUGAUUCAUGGUUGAUUGAACUGUUGAAUAACCAAAGUUUUGUCAAAAACAGACAUGAGCACAUUUAUCUGGAACACGAAGAAAAUUAACUAGAAGAAUAUCUUUUUUCACUACUAUCUUGAAGAAAUUCUAAUGCACUUCAUAUUUUAUUUACCUAGUAGGUGCUCGUACCGCGGCGGAGAUGCUCUUCUUCUUCGGCGAUGGUUGUCUACCUUCAAUCCUCGCCAGCCGUAGCCACAACCCCCCUUGUCCGCCGCUUUCCUGCCUCAAACCUAGCCGGCGGACACACACGCGUGCCUUGUGCGCGCCGCCAGCACGGCCUGCGGUGCCUCGCAGAGAGAGGAUGAGGACGUUUUUCUUUACAUUUUUUUCUAGGGUUACCUGUUUUUAUCUAUCCAAAUAAUACUAACAUGUCCAACCGACAGCUGGGGUCCACCCCACAAUAGGCGGAGCCUGGUACUUGUGUCCGCACUUUCCCCUCUCUCGCUCUUCCCCAUUUCCUCCAUUUUCUCUCGACAGCACCGUCGCCUGCCUCUAUUUCUCUGGAAACCACCGUCGCCCACCUCCAUACCAUCGGCAUCAACUUGAAGACCUAUCUUCCUAAGAUCCAUCAGGUCAAUUUCUUAAAUAGUCCUCCUCUUUUAUGUCUAAGUUUUGUUCCUCCUCUGCAUAUGCUCAGAUCUGGUAGAUUCUAAUCCACUAGAUCUUGGUGUGCCCAUUUUUUCUGGUUGGAAUUUCAGAGAUCAAUUCAUGUUUUUCAGUUUGAUAUGCUGCUUGAUUUUGGGUUCAUCACCAAGCAGUUCAAGCUAGAAACAUCUUACUACAAGAGCGCUCUGUUCUUCACUUCAUCCCCAACUACUUAUAGGAAGAUGUACAACCAAUGCACCUUGAGUUCAUCCCCGAGUAGUUAUAGGAAGAUGUACAACCAGAGCAAAAUAUUUUUAUUCCACGCUUGCUGUUCGACGAAAAUGAGUAAAUGGUUAAAUGCACAAUCAAGGCAAACAACUGUUGGACUAGUCAUUUUACUGUCAGUGCACCAACCAUUUGCUCUCAGUGCCCUCAACAUUGCAACUAUUUUUUUCUUUUCAAAUUAUAUUGCAGAUGGAAGAUGAAAAUAUUAAGGCAAGACAAGGCCAACAACUUGAUAACCAUGAAAUAGUCAACAUUAAUGUUCUAUCAAAAGUUGCCAACACAAAUAAUGUUCAACUUUCUUUCCAAAAAAGCAUCCAUUAUCAUGCUCUACUUUUUUAUAUUUCCCUACUAAAUGUUUUCCCUACUAAAUGUCCUAAGCACAAGUGAUUGGCAUAACAUUUGUAGUUUCUUUUUUAAGCACAUUUGUUACUUAAGUAUUAAGUGAAUCUUUUUCCUCCAUCAAUGCGUCUGUACUAAACUUUAUUCAUUUUCUGCAGAUGUCUACAUCAAAUGAAUCACUUCUAAAGAAGAGGAAUAUCCAAGAACUACAUAUGGCAGAAUUAAGUGAUGACAACAUUUAUAAAAAGAAGAAAGCAAGAACAAUCCGCUAACAUAUUUUCUUAUACUUUCAGUGAUUUUGAAGUAACUCCAUCUGUACAAUCGAAAUCGUCUUUCCGUGCACAUAUUUUCUAAAUAUUCUAAACUUUUUAUUAAAUUACUUCAGGCAGUUAUUCUGGACCAUCUUAAUAUGUUCCUGAUUUUCAUAUCAAAUCUUAUUGACGAUCAAAAGAUGAUAGUACGAAAGCUAGGGUUCGGUUCUAUUCUUCAAAUUUCAUGCAACUCGAAUGUGGAUGAUUUAUUCCACUAGUUAGCUGCCCAGUUCAACACAAGUACAUGCAACAUUGAACUUAAGAAUGGGUUUAAAUUCAAAUUCAUAGAUGAUGUUGUGCACAAAAUUCUGGGCAUUCCAUGUGGAGGAUUACCAAUUCAGACAAUCCCUACCAAUGAAACAGUUCAAUUCAUGAAUACAUUCUUGCAAUCAACUACUCCAACUCCAGAGCAACUAUUCUCACUGAUUACUCCUACCAUAACUGAAGAAGCUUUCUCUAGGAUAUUCUUGCUAUUGAAUCUUUCUAUCCUCAUUGCACCUAACUCAAAGGGACUACCCAGCAAAAAAUUCUUCAGUGCUUUGGUGGACAUAGAUUCUGUUCCCAAAUACAAUUGGUGUCUUUUUGCCCUGUCUUUCUUGAUUCAUCAAAUUAGAAAAUCAGACAUAAGGAUCAACCCCUCAGCCAUGACAGGGGGAUGCAAACUAAUAUUGGUGGUAAGAAUUUUCUUCUUUAACUCUUUCUGAAUUACACUAAUUUGAUUUACUCGUUCAUAAUAUAUUCUCUCUUCAUUGAAUGUUCACUAAUUAGAGUUUUUUGCUGCCCAUUCUUUCAUGCAACAUUUCUAAGGUCAUGCACUUUGAAUUCCUAAUCACAUCUGAAUACAAGAUACCCUCCAACAUUUUCCCAAGGCUUCCAAUGUGGUCAUCAACUAUGCUGAAUGCUUUUUUAGCUCUUGAUACAAUGCCCGGAGAGGAAAAACAGUUUGGGAGGCUGCUAGUAAGAAUUAACCACUUCCAUUCUCUUCUUUCUUCUAAACUGCAGAAUGAAAGUCGCUACUAGUAACAAAGCUCCUUCUUCUUUUACACUACAUCUAAUUUAUUAUUAUUCUAAACUUUUUUGCUUUAUGAAUCAGGAAAAUGCAAGAGUUGAACGUAGCACUCGGAAAUUCUGGCAAACAUUUCUAUCAAAUUCUAUACCAACAAUACAUUCCUACAUUGAUGAGGCACACCAUUGCUUUGGCCCCAAAAUUCCAUCGAAACAGAACAAGAGUGAUGAACUCACCAAAUUUCAUUCUCUUCCAAAUAUGAACUCCAGCAAUACUACAAGUCAUCCUUGUUCAUGCAAGUUGGAAACUGAAAAUCAUCCUGUCCUAGAACUAUUCCUCUCUUCAAUAGAUUUCAUUGAUUUCCCUGGGCCUCACAUUUAUCCAACCACUUUUGAUGAAGAAAACAACAAAAUAUUAGUUGAAUAUCUUAUCCAAAGCAUGUCUGAAUCUCUCCAUAUUGACAAGCAGAUAAAUUUUGACCUACUAUUGCUCAGUGCAUCAACAACUACAUAGGUUAUCCAAAUGGAUGAACAAACACAAGAUGACCUAGGUGGUUCUACUACUUUCCAAGGUAAUCAUUUCUCCAGCAUUUGUUUUUAUCGUUCUUCAUAUGGUCUUCCUUUUUUAAACCCAUCUUUGUAACCUUUUUACGCUUAUACCAGCAAGAACUAAAUCACUUUUUACUAAUUCAAGUAUGUACCUGUUCUUUGUCCAAUAUGAAUACAUAGUGAUUCUUGAAUCAAUGAAGACUGAUCACUCAGUGAGGGAAAAGAUUGGAAAAGAACUUCUACAAUGCAGACAAGAAAAAUUCAGCAUAACUCAGUGGAAAUUUAUCUCAUCUAAUAAAGGCAAUACUACUGUUUUGUUUGUUCAUCAAAACAACUAACAUUUUUUCUUUCUGUACUACUCGAACAUAGUAGUUUAAACUCAUUUUGUGCCAUGUUUCAACAGCUAAUUCAUUAUAUUGCUCAGAAGAUCAAGCAGAAAUACCACCUGACCCGCUAGUUCCUACAGUUGUAGCUAGCCAUAUCUAUGAACAAGCAGAAUAUCAGAGUAACAAGGCUGUUACAAAUAAUACCCAAGUGGGAUAUAGUUGUUCAACAUGAAUCAAUGUUGAACAUGAUAUUCCCUCUUUCAAUAUAUGCUAUAACUGCUGGUCUACAUGAUACACUUCCACAUCAAAUGACUAGUUGCAAUAACGCAAGUCUUUCACUGCCUGCUGGUCCCACCUAUAAUGUUAAUUCUAGUGGCAAGUAUCCACUGUUAUCCAAUCAGAAAACUCCAUUUAUAUAUAGCAAUAGCCCUCUUAGGACUUUCAACAUCAACUCUGGUCAACCAGAAAACAGAUUUGGAACUCCACUUGAUGAUCCAGGAUUAUAUAAACUUCUAGAAGACUUUGAAGCUGAAUGCAAAAUAAAAGAAAUCAUGGAAGGAAAGAAGAAGCUGUUUCAGAAAUUCUCUUCAGCAACAGUUGUUUACCAGAACAAAAACAUGCAGUACCAACAAGUUAUUUUUCUCAAGCCCGGUUCAGUCUGAGUUCUUCAAGACUAUGAACGCAACUCGACCACAUUUGGACUCAAGGUAUUUUACCUGUUUUCGGAUAAUUGCAACUACUUGAUGUUGGGGAACGUAGCAGAAAUACAAAAUUUUCCUACGUGUCACCAAGAUCUAUCUAUGGAGAAACCAGCUACGAGUAGAAGGAGAGUGCAUCUACAUACCCUUGUAGAUCGCUAAGCGGAAGCGUUCAAGUGAACGGGGUUGAUGAAGUCGUACUCGUCGUGAUUCAAAUCACCGAUGAUCAAGUGCCGAACGCACGGCACCUCCGCGUUCAACACACGUACAGCCCGGUGACGUAUCCCACGCCUUGAUCCAGCAAGGAGAGAGGGAGAGGUUGAGGAAGACUCCAUCCAGCAGCAGCACAACGGCGUGGUGGUGGUGGAGGAGCGUGGCAAUCCUGCAGGGCUUCGCCAAGCACCACGGGAGAGGAGGACGACUUGGGAGAGGGGGAGGGCUGCGCCAGAACUUCGUCUGAAGCUCCCAUGCGUCUCUCCACUAUAUAUAGGGGUGGAGGGGCUGGUUUCUUGCCCUCCAAGUCCAUUGGGGCGUUGGCCAAGGUGGGAGGAAAGAAAUCCCAUCAUUUCCUUCCCCACCGAUUGUUAUCCCCCCUUUUUAGGGAUCUUGAUCUUAUCCCUUCAGGAUAUGAUCUUAUUCCUUCUAAGGGGGGAUCUUGGUGUGCCUUGACCAGGGGUGUGGGGCCUUGCCCCCACUACCCACGUUCAUGUGGGUCCCCCCAUGCAGGUGGGCCCCACUCCGGAACCUUCUAGAACCUUCCCGGUACAAUACCGAAAAAUCCCGAACAUUUUCUGGUGGCCAAAAUAGGACUUCCCAUAUAUAAAUCUUUACCUCCGGACCAUUCCGGAACUCCUCGUGACGUUCGGUAUCUCAUACGGGACUCCGAACAACAUUCGGUAACCACAUACAAACUUCCUUUAUAACCCUAGCAUCAUCGAACCUUAAGUGUGUAGACCCUACGGGUUCGGGAGACAUGCAGACAUGACCGAGACGUUCUCCGGUCAAUAACCAACAGCGGGAUCUGGAUACCCAUGAUGGCUCCCACAUGUUCCACGAUGAUCUCAUCGGAUGAACCACGAUGUCAAGGACUUAAUCAAUCCCGUAUUCAAUUCCUUUUGUCUAUCGGUAUGUUACUUGCCCGAGAUUCGAUCGUCGGUAUCCAAUACCUUGUUCAAUCUCGUUACCGGCAAGUCACUUUACUCGUUCCGUAACACAUCAUCCCGUGAUCAACUCCUUGGUCACAUUGCGCAUAUGAUGAUGUCCUACCGAGUGGGCCCAGAGAUACCUCUCCGUUUACACGGAGUGACAAAUCCCAGUCUCGAUCCGCAUAAAACAAUAGAUACUUUCGGAGAUACCUGUAGUGCACCUUUAUAUUCACCCAGUUACGUUGUGACGUUUGAUACACCCAAAGCACUCCUACGGUAUCCAGGAGUUACACGCUCUCAUGGUCGAAGGAAGAGAUACUUGACAUUGGCAAAGCUCUAGCAAAUGAACUACACGAUCUUUUGUGCUAGUCUUAGGAUUGGGUCUUGUCCAUCACAUCAUUCUCCUAAUGAUGUGAUCCCGUUAUCAACGACAUCCAAUGUCCAUAGCCAGGAAACCAUGACUAUCUGUUGAUCACAACGAGCUAGUCAACUAGAGGCUCACUAGGGACAUAUUGUGGUCUAUGUAUUCACACGUGUAUUACGAUUUCCGGAUAAUACAGUUAUAGCAUGACUAAAAGACAAUUAUCAUGAACAAGGAAAUAUAAUAAUAAUACUUUUAUUAUUGCCUCUAGGGCAUAUUUCCAACAGUCUCCCACUUGCACUAGAGUCAAUAAUCUAGUUCACAUCGCCAUGUGAUUAACACUCACAGGUCACAUCGCCAUGUGACUAACACCCAAGAGUUUACUAGAAUCAGUAGUCUAGUUCACAUCACUAUGUGAUUAAUACUCAAUGAGUUUUAGGUUUGAUCAUGUUGCUUGUGAGAGAGGUUUUAGUCAACGGGUCCGAACCUUUCAGAUCCGUGUGUGUUUUACAAAUCUCUAUGCCAUCUCCUAGAUGUAGCUACCACACUCUAUUUGGAGCUAAUCCGAAUAACUGUUCUACUUGGAGCUAUUCUAAAUUGUUGCUCCAUUAUAUGUAUCCGGUAUCUCUACUCAGAGCUAUCCGGAUAGGUGUCAAGCUUGCAUCGACGUAACCCUUUACGACGAACUCUUUUACCACCUCCAUAAUCGAGAAAAAUUCCUUAGUCCACUAAUUUCUAAGGAUAACUUUGACCGCUGUCCUGUGAUCCAUUCUUGGAUCACUCUUGUACCCCUUGACUGACUCAUGGCAAGGCACACUUCAGGUGCGGUACUCAGCAUGGCAUACUGUAGAGCCUACGUCUAAAGUAUAGGGGACGACCUUCGUCCUUCCUCUCUUUUCUGCCGUGGUCGAGCUUUAAGUCCUAACUUCGUACCUUACAACUCAGGCAAGAACUCCUUCUUUGACUGAUCCAUCUUGAACACCUUCAAGAUCAUGUCAAGGUAUGUGCUCAUUUGAAAGUAUUAUUAAGCAUUUUGAUCUAUCCUUAUAGAUCUUGAUGCUCAAUGUUCAAGUAGCUUAAUCCAGGCUUUCCAUUGAAAAACACUUUCAAAAUAACCCUAUAUGCUUUCCAGAAAUUCUACGUCAUUUCUGAUCAACAAUAUGUCAACAACAUAUACUCAUCAGAAAUUCUAUAGUGCUCCCACUCACUUCUUUGGAAAUACAAGUUUCUCGUAAACUUUGUACAAACCCAAAAUCUUUGAUCAUCAUCAAAGCACACAUUCCAACUCCGAGAUGCUCACUCCAGUCCUUAGAAGGAUUGCUGGAGCUUUGCAUACUUAUUAGCAUCUUUUGGGAUUGACAAAACCUUCCGGUUGUAUCACAUACAACCUUUCCUCAAGUAUAACGUCGAGGAAACAAUGUUUUGACAUCCUAUCUGCAAGAUUUCAUCAAUCAUGCAGUAACUGCUAAUCCAAUUCCAACAGACUCUUAGGAUCGCUACGAGUGAGAAAACCUCACCGUAAUCAACUCCUUGAACUUGUCGGAAAAUAUCUUAACGACAAGUCGAGCUUUCUUAAUGGUAAUUCUUACCAUCAUUGUCUGUCUUCCUUUUAAAAUCCAUCCGUACCCAAUGGCCUUACGACCAUCAAGUAUUUCUUCCAAAGUCAUGGAUCCGUUCUCGGAUUUUAUGGCCUCGAGCCAUUUAUCGGAAUCCGGGCCCACCAUUGCUUCUCCAUAGCUCGUAGGUUCAUUGUUGUCCAGCAACAUGACUUCCAAGACAGGAUUACGUACCACUCUGAUGUAGUACGUAUCCUUGUCAUCCCACGAGGUUUGGUAGUGACUUGAUCCGAAGUUUCAUGAUCAACAUCACAAGCUUCCACUUCAAUUGGUGUAGGUGCCACAGGAACAACUUCAUGUGCCCUGCCACACACUAGUUGAAGAGACGGUUCAAUAACCUCAUCAAGUUUCCACCAUCCUCCCACUCAAUUCUUUCAAGAGAAACUUUUCCUCGAGAAAGGACCCGAUUCAAGAAACAAUCCAUAUUGCUUUCGGAUCUGAAUUAGGAGGUAUACCCAACUGUUUUGGGUUUCCUAUGAAGAUGCAUUUUAUCCGCUUUGGGUUCGAGCUUAUCAACCUGAAACUUUUUCAUAUAAGCGUCGCAGCCCCAAACUUUUAAGAAACGACAACUUAGGUUUCUCUAAACCAUAAUUCAUACGGUGUCAUCUCAACGGAAUUACGUGGUGCCCUAUUUAAAGUGAAUGUGGUUGUCUCUAAUGCCUAACCCAUGGACAAUAGUGGUAAUUCGAUAAGAGACAUCAUGGUACGCACCAUAUCCAAUAGGGUGCAACUAUGAUGUUCGGACACACCAUCACACUAUGGUGUUCCAGGCGGUAUUAAUUGCGAAACAAUUUCCACAAUGUCUUAAUUGUGUGCCAAAACUCGUAAUUCAGAUAUUCAUCUCUAUGAUCAUAUCAUAGACAUUUUAUCCUCUUGUCACAAUGAUCUUCUACUUCACUCUGAAAUUACUUGAACCAUUCAAUAAUUCAGACUUGUGUUUCAUCAAGUAAAUAUUCUCAACAUCUACUCGAAUCAUCUGUGAAGUAAGAUCAUAACGAUAUUCACUGCAUGCCUCAGCACUCAUUGGAUUGGACACAUCAAAAUGUGUUACUUCCAACAAGUUGCUAUCUUGUUCCAUCUUACUGAAAACGAGGCUUUUCAGUCAUCUUGCCCAUGUGGUAUGAUUUGCAUAUCUCAAGUGAUUCAAAAUCAAGUGAGUCCAAACGGUCCAUUUGCAUGGAGUUUCUUCAUGCAUAUACACCAAUAGACAUGGUUCGCAUGUCUCAAACUUUUCAAAAACGAGUGAGUCCAAAGAUCCAUCAACAUGGAGCUUCUUCAUGCGUUUUAUACCAUUAUGACUUACAUGGCAGUGUCACAAGUAUGUGGUACUAUCAUUACUAUCUUAUAUCUUUUGGCAUGAAAAUGUGUAUCACUACGAUCGAGAUUCAAUAAACCAUUCAUUUUAGGUGCAAGACCAUUGAAGGUAUUAUUCAAAUAAAUAGAGUAACCAUUAUUCUCUUUAAAUGAAUAACCGUAUUGCGAUAGACAUAAUCCAAUCAUGUCUAUGCUCAACGCAAAUACCAAAUCUCGAUGGUAGAGGGAGCGUGCGAUGCUUGAUCAUAUCAACAUUGGAAACACUUCCAACACAUAUCGUCAGCUCACCUUUAGCUAGUCUCCGUUUAUGCCGUAGCUUUUAUUUCGAGUUACUAACACUUAGCAACCGAACCGAUAUCUUAUACCCUGGUGCUACUAGGAGUACUAGUAAAGUACACAUUAACAUAAUGUAUAUCCAAUAUACUUCUAUCGACCUUGCCAGCCUUCUCAUCUACCAAGUAUCUAGGGUAAUUCUGCUCUAGUGACUGUUCCCCUUAUUACAGAAGCACUUAGUCUCGGGUUUGGGUUCAACCUUGGGUUUCUUCACUGGAGCAGCAGCUGAUUUGCCGUUUCAUGAAGUAUCCCUUCUUGCCCUUGCCCUUCUUGAAACUAGUGGUUUCAUCAACCAUCAACAAUUGAUGCUCCUUCUUGAUUUCUACUUUCGCGGUGUCAAACAUCGUGAAUACCUCAAGGAUCAUCUUAUUUAUCCCUGAUAUGUUAUAGUUCAUCACGAAGCUCUAGCAGCUCGGUGGCAAUGACUUUGGAGAAACAUCACUAUCUCAUUUGGAAGAUCAACUCCCACUCAAUUCAAGUGAUUGUUGCACUCAGACAAUCUGAGCACAAGCUCAACGAUUGAGAUUUUCUCCCUUAGUUUGUAGGCUAAGAGAAUCGUUGGAGGUCUUAUACCUCUUGACGUGAGCACGAGCCUGAAAUCCCAAUUUCAGCCCUCGAAACAUCUCAUAUGUUCCGCGAUGUUUCGAAAACGUCUUUCGUGCCUCUACUUAAACCAUUUAACUGAACUAUCACGUAGUUAUCAAAACGUGUAUGUUCGAUGUUCGAAACAUCCACAAACGACGUUUGGGGUUCAGCACACUGAGCAGUGCAUUAAGGACAUAAGCUUUCUACUGUUCGCAUAAUCGCUACUAUCAACUUUCAACUAUAUUUUCUCUAGGAACAUAUCUAAAACAGUAGAACUAAAGCGCGAGCUACGACAUAAUUUGCAAAAGGUCUUUUGACUAUGUUCAGGAUAAUUAAGUUCAUCUUAUGAACUCCCACUCAGAUAGACAUCCCUCUGGUCAUCUAAGUGAUUACAUGAUCCGAGUCAACUAGGCCGUGUCCGAUCAUCACGUGAGACGGACUAGUCAUCAUCGGUGAACAUCUUCAUGUUGAUCGUAUCUACUAUACGACUCAUGCUCGACCUUUCGGUCUCCGUGUUCCGAGGCCAUGUCUGUACAUGCUAGGCUCGUCAAGUUAACCCUAAGUGUUUUCGCUGUGUAAAACUGUCUUACACCCGUUGUAUGUGAACGUAAGAAUCCAUCACACCCGAUCAUCACGUGGUGCUUAGAAGCGAUGAACUGUAGCAACGGUGCAUAGUUAGGGGAGAACACUUCUUGAAAUUGUUGUAAGGGAUCAUCUUAUUUACUACCAUCGUUCUAAGCAAACAAGAUGCAUAAACAUGAUAAACAUCACAUGCAAUCAAAUAGAGUAGUGACAUGAUAUGGCCAAUAUCAUAUAGCUCCUUUGAUCUUCAUCUUCGGGGCUCCAUGAUCAUCUUGUCACCGGCAUGACACCAUGAUCUCCAUCAUCAUGAUCUCCAUCAUCGUGUCUUCAUGAAGUUGUCACGCCAACGACUACUUCUACUUCUAUGACUAACGCAUUUAGCAAUAAAGUAAAGUAGUUUACAUGGCGUUCUUCAAUGACACGCAGGUCAUACAAUAAAUAAAGACAACUCCUAUGGCUCCUGCCGGUUGUCAUACUCAUCGACAUGCAAGUCGUGAAUCCUAUUACAAGAACAUGAUCAAUCUCAUACAUCACAUAUAUCAUUCAUCACAUCCUUUUGGCCAUAUCACAUCACAUAGCAUACCCUGCAAAAACAAGUUAGACGUCCUCUAAUUGUUGUUUGCAUGUUUUACGUGGCUGCUAUGGGUUUCUAGCAAGAACGUUUCUUACCUACGCAAAACCACAACGUUGAUAUGCCAAUUGCUAUUUACCCUUCAUAAGGACCCUUUUCAUCGAAUCCGUUCCGACUAAAGUGGGAGAGACUGGCACCCGCUAGCCACCUUAUGCACCAAGUGCAUGUCAAUCGGUGGAACCUGUCUCACGUAAGAGUACGUGUAAGGUCGGUCCGGGCCGCUUCAUCCCACAAUACCGUCGAAACAAGAUUGGACUAGUAACGGUAAGCAUAUUGAACAACAUCAACGCCCACAACUACUUUGUGUUCUACUCGUGCAAAGAAUCUACGCAAUAGACCUAGCUCAUGAUGCCACUGUUGGGGAACGUAGCAGAAAUACAAAAUUUUCCUACGUGUCACCAAGAUCUAUCUAUGUAGAAACCAGCUACGAGUAGAAGUAGAGUGCAUCUACAUACCCUUGUAGAUCGCUAAGCGGAAGCGUUCAAGUGAACGGGGUUGAUGAAGUCGUACUCGUCAUGAUUCAAAUCACCGAUGAUCAAGUGCCGAACGCACGACACCUCCGCGUUCAACACACGUACAGCCCGGUGACGUAUCCCACGCCUUGAUCCAGCAAGGAGAGAGGGAGAGGUUGAGGAAGACUCCAUCCAGCAGCAGCACAACGGCGUGGUGGUGGUGGAGGAGCGUGGCAAUCCUGCAGGGCUUCGCCAAGCACCACGGGAGAGGAGGACGACUUGGGAGAGGGGGAGGGCUGCGCCAGAACUUCGUCUGAAGCUCCCAUGCGUCUCCCCACUAUAUAUAGGGGUGGAGGGGCUGGUUUCUUGCCCUCCAAGUCCAUUGGGGCGUUGGCCAAGGUGGGAGUAAAGAGAUCCCAUCAUUUCCUUCCCCACCGAUUGUUAUCCCCCCUUUUUAGGGAUCUUGAUCUUAUCCCUUCGGGAUAUGAUCUUAUUCCUUCUAAGGGGGGAUCUUGGUGCGCCUUGACCAGGGGUGUGGGGCCUUUCCCCCACUACCCACGUUCAUAUGGGUCCCCCCAUGCAGGUGGGCCCCACUCCGGAACCUUCUAGAACCUUCCCGGUACAAUACCGAAAAAUCCCGAACAUUUUCUGGUGGCCAAAAUAGGACUUCCCAUAUAUAAAUCUUUACCUCCGGACCAUUCCGGAACUCCUCGUGACGUCCGGGAUCUCAUACGGGACUCCGAAUAACAUUCGGUAACCACAUACAAACUUCCUUUAUAACCCUAGCGUCAUCGAACCUUAAGUGUGUAGACCCUACGGGUUCGGGAGACAUGCAGACAUGACCGAGACGUUCUCCGGUCAAUAACCAACAGCGGGAUCUGGAUACCCAUGAUGGCUCCCACAUGUUCCACGAUGAUCUCAUCGGAUGAACCACGAUGUCAAGGACUUAAUCAAUCCCGUAUUCAAUUCCCUUUGUCUAUCGGUAUGUUACUUGCCCGAGAUUCGAUCGUCGGUAUCCAAUACCUUGUUCAAUCUCGUUACCGGCAAGUCACUUUACUCGUUCCGUAACACAUCAUCCCGUGAUCAACUCCUUGGUCACAUUGCGCAUAUGAUGAUGUCCUACCGAGUGGGCCCAGAGAUACCUCUCCGUUUACACGGAGUGACAAAUCCCAGUCUCGAUCCGCAUAAAACAAUAAAUACUUUCGGAGAUACCUGUAGUGCACCUUUAUAGUCACCCAGUUACGUUGUGACGUUUGAUACACCCAAAGCACUCCUACGGUAUCCAGGAGUUACACGCUCUCAUGGUCGAAGGAAGAGAUACUUGACAUUGGCAAAGCUCUAGCAAAUGAACUACACGAUCUUUUGUGCUAGUCUUAGGAUUGGGUCUUGUCCAUCACAUCAUUCUCCUAAUGAUGUGAUCCCGUUAUCAACGACAUCCAAUGUCCAUAGCCAGGAAACCAUGACUAUCUGUUGAUCACAACGAGCUAGUCAACUAGAGGCUCACUAGGGACAUAUUGUGGUCUAUGUAUUCACACGUGUAUUACGAUUUCCGGAUAAUACAGUUAUAGCAUGAAUAAAAGACAAUUAUCAUGAACAAGGAAAUAUAAUAAUAAUACUUUUAUUAUUGCCUCUAGGGCAUAUUUCCAACACUUGAAGCCAUUAGUUUCAUAAUAUAUGUUUCAUCUUUCCUUCUAUCUGCCUCUUGUUCUGGUACUACUUCUUGUAAUAACCUUUCUUGUUUACAUUCAUAAAAAAUAGCCAAAGGAUUUUCCAAGUAAAUGAAGUCUGGGUUGAUUAGAAGACUUUGACUAUUUCAUGAGACCUGGCUCUUGGAUGAGUCCCCAUUUUUAGAUUGUUACUCGAAAAUUCUUAAUACAAACCAACUAUUCCGCGGGAGGCAAGGACUUAUCCCAAACACUGAUGUUAUUACACACAUUCCGCAAAGAGAAGAUAUGGUAGUGCUCGCUUCAUUUUGUGCUAAGUACUUUUUCAUCUUAGUGACAGAAAUCCACCAAAAAAGAUAUAAGCAUCACUCAUUUUAGUAUUAUUGAUAUUUUUCACAAACGACAAUGCAGGAGUUAUUAAUGCGGCCUCUAUUGGAUCAUUCAGAUCCUAUUUGUAGAGAUAUUUUAAGUGAAAGAAUGGUUGGAUUCAGCCUGGAUAGAGAAAUUUCAUUAGUUCUCUAACUUGAAUAACAAAACAUAUAUGAGCAUUUCUCUUUAAACACUAUGUUUGCAUGAAGAAUGCAUUAUUUUCUUAUCCCUACAAAACCAAACUGACAUGGCUUCUAUUUUUCUACGUGUACUUACCUUGCUUCAAUGAUAAGAAGUGAAUUUAAUUUCCGCAAACCUGGAAUCCGGGAGGUACUUCGACAUUGAAUCCUGAUGGCUCUGGACAAGAUAGAUUCACCACUAUCAUUAGCACUGUUGCCUACAAUUUCAAAACACUGUUUGCCUUGACAUACCCGAACUGCACUGCAUUCAACAUAAAGGACUUCGACUACAGAUUUUUUGCAGUACCUAGAACUCAUUUUAGGUCCAUAGCUUCUCUUUUUUUUCAUUCAACAUUUUCAGUUGAAUUACCUUAGUUAAUUGCAGUUUUCAUAUAUUCGUAAACUAAGUUUAGUUCUUACAAUCUCAUGUAUCCCAGGUAUGAUACAUGACUUUUUUGUUGCAAAUUUUAAAAAACUACCGUGGAAUGGGAGUUCCAGGGUUCUCAACUGUAAGAUCCUAUCAUUUCCAGACCAAUACCUUUUCAUUUUUUAACUGUACAACUGAAAGAGAAUAAAUUUUCUUCCAGGCUGAUUUGCAAGCUCUGCGUGAAAUUUUCUUGUACGAGAUAGCAACAUACCCCAACAGUGAAGUUCAAUUACCUAUAGUGAGAAACUUCCUACAAAACCAUGUAAGUUCUAGACCGUUUUUUAUCAUCCUCCACCUGUUGGUUAUCUCUAUUCUUUCCAUUCUUCUGUCACUUCUAUAUAAUCUAUGUUAUGAAAGUUGGUUACUCUUUUUGUCAAAAUGUUUCUUAUGUAUUUUCUAAAUCUGUUAUUCCACAUGGGUUUCGAUCAUUCAAAUAAACAACUGCCGAGGCCACAAUUGCAGCUUUGCAAAAAGCCUGAAACAUUUUCCCUUCUCUUUUUAAUAAUUCCUUUCAUAAAGUUUUUCAAAUAAACAUCUACCUAGCUUUGAGAUUCAUACGUAGCAAUUAUUGUAGUGUUAACCUGAUUGUUGAAACAGUCGAACUACAAAUAACUUUGUAGAAAAAGUUCAACAUAAAAUGUUUUGCAUAUAGCCCAGAGAAUAAGUGUUCAAUCAAAUAGUAAUCUGUCAAGCAACUAUAGCAACUCUUGGCUAACUUCUUUUCUAAAAAUAUGUCAUACAAUUGUGCUUUGUUUCAUUAGAAUACAAUACAUUUUCCCCUACCAUCCAUAUUCUAUCGCCUACAUUAAACUGCUUUUUGGAAUGCUUCCACAUAAUAAAAUUCUUUUCCAUAAUGAGUGAAUUUUUUUUUCAAUUACAAUCAACACAAGAUGUUUUCACUCUAAAUUAGUAUGUAAAGUGUCCAAUUCUAUAUGGAGUAGCAUUGCAAGGUCAAGGAAAAGGUCAAGGAAAAAUAUUAGCACAUUUAGAUCAUUUUCUUCACAUUUUUUCUGGCUAUUUAAAACUGUUACUUUCUUACCUCAUUAUGACUUUUGUGGAUGUUACAAUAUAAUGACCAGCAAUUAUUUUUUUGCUCGGCUUAAUAAAACAGGUACAACAACUACUACAAGACAAUUCCAACAAGAACUACGACAGUCAAGAGAAUCCACACAAAUGGAUAAAGACAUUAUUUUGAUCCCUUGUAUGACAUUUUCUUCCCGAUCAAUUUUGUUUGUAUGACAUGUUUAGAAAAUUUAGUACCAAAAAGAGUCCUUGACAUCAUACUGUGUUUUGCAUUUUCUUAUGAAUUUUUUUCUACAAUCUUUGUUCGAUACAUUUUUCCGUUCCAACUUACGAACAUACAGCAAAAAAACUUUUUUUUGAAUGGAAAAUAGCAACAAAACUAGUAGUUCAAACUCGAACCAGCAUCUACGCACCACUUUUCCCUAUCGUGGACAAAGAAACUUCCUAGCGCCCGAAAUAGUCUCCACUCCAACGAGCACGAAAUGGGCCAGCCCAACUCGUUCCCACUGUUCGUUCGAAAUAGUGUACCCCCUACGCGCCUGCAUGCUUCCUGGCGCAUAGGUCGCCAUAUAGGCUGCGCAUAGGUUGCCAUAUAGGCUGUCAGGACCCCGAUUUUAAGUCACACCGAUCUAGCCUGUAACACCUCAUAUCACUUUGCGGCCUCACGCACGGUAUUUCCACGGGUGUCGCCUUACCAUGGCCCGGGACCGUUUGCGCCAUUUGGCUCACGUAGAUGAUAGUGUCGCUAGCAUCCAUAUGACAGAGAACCCGGGCCAUGGUAAGGCGACACCCAUGGGAAUACCGUGCGUGAGGCCACAAAGUGAUAUGAGGUGUUAUAGGCUAGAUCGGUGUGACUUAGAAUCGGGGUCCUGACAGCUUUGGUAUUAGAGCCUGACUGCCUGUAGGAUUACCAAGCCAAGCUGGCCGAAGUCGUGUCUAGAAAUGCUUUAGUUAUAUAAGGGAAUUGAUUGUGGAUGGGAAUGUAAGGCUCUUUUACUCCUUAUCCUCAUGACAUUCUGAUCUGAGUCAUCUUAUCUUUUCUACGGGGUUAAGAACUAGGCUUCUCUUCUAUCUCUCGGGAUGACGUGUUACUAAACCGUAGUUGCCGAGGAUUGUUGAGUUCAAGCCUCAGUUCAGUUCCUACUACUUCCAUAUGUUCAUAGCUGGCCUCAGAACCUUGAGUUUGUGAUGUUGAGUGGCUAUGCCAUCAUUUUGAGCAUUUACAGUCGUUAUGCUGUCCGAGUCAUCCCAGGUUUCUAAAUAGUCUGAUGCACUUGCAAAUCUUUCCUCCAUGUUCUGUUGUAUUUUUGGGCCAGAUUAAGCACACUAAUCGGUGUGUUAAGGUACUCUGUUGCCUUGACGUGUAUGUUGGAGUUAGUAUUAUGACCCUAGGUGUCUUCGAGAACCACUUAGUAAUCUAGCAAUGUUUUGUGUGUCCCUGUGUGAUGAUUCUGGUCACCAUUCUCAAAAGUAUCUCGUGAUGUUAUUUAGUUAGUAGGUAUUCUACUCCUGGGUUUUGAACCCGAGAUUCACCCUACUUCAUGUUGUUAGUAUUUGCUAGUUCCCUUAAGAUAUUAGUAACCUUGUGAUAGUCCUCGAGGCCCGUGGUAUAUCGUUCUUUCAAUACCAUGAGCCAAUAUGGCAGAAGUUCUUUUGAACCAAAAGAUCACAACCAGAGUGCUCUUGAUGAGUUCCCCAUUCAUAAUUGUGAUUCUGCCAGCUCUACCUUUCUGCAUGGGUUAUCCAGAAGAAAUAUGUUGAACUCGUUCGACAUACUAAUUAUGCAUCCACAACUCAGAAAGUUAUAUGUUCCUUUGAGUUGUCCCCCUUCAGUUAUAUUCCUACCUUCAUCUAUCAAUUGAUAGUCAAGAGUAUGCGUGCAUUCGUUCCUCGGUGCCUAUCAUUCUUGUGGUCCAUCAAGCCAUACUAUUCCGGAAUGACUAGGUGAAACAAAUUCCAGUACCUUAUCCAUUUCUAGGAUUGGGUCAAAGUAGAUGUAAUCCGCAGAUCCAAAUUCCAAUCUAGCUUUUGCUCUGUUCUACCGUGGAGUGUCACCUUCUCUCUUAUCAAGAAUGUCAUGAGAAUUGCACCAUAUCUUAUGAAUUCUUGAUGCAGUGAUACUUCUUGCCAUCAUUGUUCAUUUCUCGGUUCCUGUGUUGUUAUAACCAGAAUGCCAACAAGUGAAUCGUGAUGUGUGAAAUCAAUACUCCUAGCAACUCUGUUCCUUGGUAGUUAAUGGAUAGUAUUCUCAUUCCUAGCAUGUUGGUUAAUGAAUCAUCAUCCUAAGAUUGAUCGUGCUACUAGUCCUUAUUUCCGGAGCACUAUUCGAUCAAUGGGUUAGGAUUUUGCCAAACCCUUGCUCUUUUGAUCAUAUCGUCUUGCCCUGUAAAGUAAGAUUGAUCUCGAGCUUAGUAUCAUGUAGGUGGUUCGUGAAUUUCCGAAUAUCUUCUCAGAAGUGUUACCAGGUUGUCACCUGACCGCUAUGUUGAGUUCAUGAUCAAGUUGGUUUCUUGUAAACCACUCCUUCUCCAAGGAUCUGUGUUGGAUAUCCCUGAGCUAGUUGGUUGAGGUAGACAACAACUUGGAGAGUUGGAAGGCAAAAGCUUUGCUUAAAUUAGUUCAUCUCUAAGGGAUAUCUUCUGUGUGUACGUGUUGAAGAAAGAUGAUAUCUCCAUCGAUUGGUCCUCGUGAUCAGUUGUUGGAUCUAUUACCUUGUCAAAACUUUGACUUGAGUAUGGGCUAUCGUCAAGUCAAAUCAGAACCAACGAUGUUCGUAAUGAUGUCUUACUCGUGGUUGAUCCCUCAAGCAUACACCAUUACAUCUUUUGGUCUGACCAAUGCUAUCACCGUGUUCACAUGAUGGUGGACGUCCAGUGAUAUGGAAAUUCUGAUGAGUUGUUGUUGAGGCCAUCAACAACAUUUUGUCUCCCCCAUGAUUCAUGUUGAACAUUAUACUAGUGUUGGAAACUUUAUAGGCAUUGCCCUCAUGUCCCGUUCAUGAAGCAUAUGUCCGGUUGAAAGAUGUGACUUCCUCUAAUUCAUGUGCAUCUGAUGCAAGUUGCCGUCGUGGAUUUGAGAAAGCUUGUUUUGCUUCCUUUGGAAUCAUCCCAAGUUAGCCAUGCAUGUGCGAAGUAUUCUAUGGUUUGAUAGGCUCGCUACCUCCAGUCCAUAUGUGUCCCUAGCACACCAAGCCACUGACUGAUUUGUUCUAGGAGAAGGAGUUAAGUGCUAAUCCAUGGUAAUGCACAAGACUUCGUUAUUCAUGAUGAUGGUUCCCAACCAGAACUCACUAGUGUUUUAUUAUAAGACUACCAUGUGGCCAUGCUUGUCUGGGACAGCGUGUUCACAUGUUGUAGCAGAACCAGCUCAUGCUAUGGAGCUUGCUAUCAUAGUUCAUCUCCCGAGAAUCUCGCAAUGUCAUCUCGUCGAUUUGUGUUGCAAACUUUCAUUUUCUUUCUAGACUCGAUGAGUCUGGAAUAUCCUGACACCAACCAGAUCUGAAUCUCAGGCAGAUGUGAUGGUUGGGACAUUUUCCCAAGAGCUAUAAUAUUGGUCUCUCGGUAACCAGUAAAGUGGAUGACGUGGCCAACACACCCGACCGGAAGACCUAUUAUUGUAGUAUCUUGUUUGAAGAAGUUGGCCACUUCCGCAUAAGGAUCUCGUAGAAUUUAUUCCAAUAGUAGUUACUUAUGGAUUUUUCUGUUUCUGAAGUCCGACCUUUUAUUUGAUGUCCUAGAUACCAAACCAUAUCAAUAAAUGAGUUAUGCUAGCACAUCAAGGAGAACAUUAGAAGUGGAGUGCUAAAUGUUUCUCGGUCGGUCAUCCAGAUUUUGAUCCCUUGGCCUCGCUAAGGUGAAAUAUGAGAAAGUGUUAUCUUUCUUUGCAUCUGCGUCCUCCACCAUUAUUCAUCAUGGUAGUAUGUUGUGUUGCCGGGAUCCUUGACAUGGAUAUUGGUAAAACUUGUUGAAUAUGGAAUGCUCAAGUUCUUGAGAGCACGCGCAAUCACUAGGAUUUAUCGCCGGCAUUAAUUGGGAUCUACUCUUAGUUUCCUUGGUUAUGCUAUAACCUUACCAAUAGUGGAAUCUCUCUCUACUGUUGGGUUUCUCCCCAGUCCUUGGAUCAUUCCUAGCAUUUGCAUUUUGUUCCCAGCUUGCAUCGCCGUUGUACCAAUUUCCCAUGGGCUGCCCUCUCGGAAAUUGUUGUUCCGGAUCAUCUUCAAAAGUGGUCCUACCAUGGAUCCCAUCCAUCUCCGAUGAUAAGCAAAAUCAUCUGUUGCGUUGUCUUCAACAAGGUAGUCCACAUCAUCUGUUCUAGUCUGAGUAUGCCAUUCUUUCCGACUUCUUCAAACGAUCGGUUGUGAAUUGCCCUAGGCUGGUACAGAGAGUUUCAUUGGUCGUUGUAUCAAAAGUAAUUCUUUUGCCACUUAGGGGAAUAUUUCUGCGAGUCACUUUCCCUAAGGUGCCAUUAUCGAAUCAUGGAAGAUAACUCCUCGUUAUCUUGAAACCAUGCACCAUCUUAUUCAGCAUGGAAUUGUGCUUAUCAACUUGAAUCUUCGUUCUCUGUUUCACUCCAUCCCUUUGGAUGUAUGUUUCGUGUCUUAGCUCGAGAGAUGGUGUACAUCUCAUUCCGUGAGUUGAUUGUCAGUUGCUCAAUCUUCAUGAAGAUUGAUUCUUCUAGAGUUUUCCCUUUCUUCUCGUUGUCAUGCUGGAUGGAGUUCUCAGAACAAGAUGUCAAGACAAGGAUGAUGAUCGAAUCAACGUUCUUAUGAAGUGCAACCUGGAUCGUGAAGUUUGUGUUAGGGUUGUGCCUCCUUGUCUUCUUACCUCACGUCUUGAAUCUCGGGGCGAGAUUCUUGUUUAGUGGGGGUGAGUUGUCACAGCCCUAGAAUUUGAUUGCAAAUAGUUGCACAAGCAUCCAUGAAUCAUGUCUAAAAUUCCUUGAAAGUUGAAAUGGGGAUUGUUGAAACCCUAGCACUAGAUCAAGUCAAAUAGGUUCAACCUAAAAUAAUCUUCAAUGAAUCCAAAAUGCCUUUGAAAAUGUUCAUUAUUUUUGUUAAAGGUGAAAACAUCUGCCAAAAAUGAUGCAAAUAUUUUUAGGCCAUUCUGGAUAUUUGAACUAAUUCAUAAAGUAUUUGAAUUGGGGCAUUUAAUUGGUAUAAAUAUUAUUAAAUGCUCCAGCAAUUCUGGAAAUAGCUAAGGGCCUCUGAGAAAGUUUAGUUGUUGCACAUAAUUAAUUUCAGGAUUUAUAGAAAUGAUUUGGUGUUUUUGCUAAAUCAAAAACAAAUUGCAAAAGCAGAAAAUAGAAACAGAUGGAAAGGCAGAAGACUUACCUGGGUCAACUUACCUGGCGCCCAGCCGGCCCAACACUGUGCAGCCCAGCCAGCGCAGCGCCUUCUUCAACCUUCUGCCAGAAGGUGAGGCAGCUGCAUGGAGAGCGCAAAGCUGAGCUGCGCCAGCUCCUACUUGCCACCUCCUGCUUCCCCCUCUCCUCUGCCGAUGCCACGCGACCCCCUGGGUCUCUCACACUCCCCCUCGAGCUCUUCCCCUUCCUUUGCUCCCCCUCCCGAGCACAACCGAGCGAGCUUGUCGCCGCCGACGCUGUUUACCGCGGCCACAGCCACCCCCCUUGCCCCUCUGCCGUCCCCAAGAGCUCCGCCCCGACCUCUUCUUCGUCUCUGCCAAGCCAAAUGAUGCCAGAGCGCCCCACAGCACCACCAUCGCCGUUGUCUUCGUCCUCUGCACCGAAAGUCGUCGUCCUCGAUUCGCAGCAACCCGACCUCGCCGACGACGCCAUCGGACGCGCUGUGAGCACCCGCGUCGUCUCCCCCUUCUCCCCUGGUCGCGCUCGCCCUCUAGGCCGUAGCCCCGCCAUGACUGAAAGCUUGCUCGCUGCCAUCCAUGUCGCUACCGUGGCGAGAGCCCACGCACGUCGCAUCCGAGGACGCUAUCAUCCUCAGCACGCUCCCAGGAGCCCAGAACUGCCGUCCGUUCGACCUCGCAUGCACCGUAGCAUCUUAGCCGUCGAGCCCGUACUCCGGACGCCGCCGCGAGCUCAUUCCCGGCGAGCUUCGGCCACCCCAACUGCCGCCGCCUGUUGCAAUGGAUGCGCUCGAGUCCUGGCGUUCCAUAGCUGCAACCAGCGCUCAAAACCAUUCCACGUAGCGUAUUUCCGCGGCGUCCCCGUCGUCGGUUUUGGUCACCGCCGGUGAACUCCGGCGAAGCCAACGUGGCGCCACCAUUAGCCACUAAUUGCGCUCUAAUUAACCCCCACAGCCACUGACCGGUGGGCCCAGCUCCUCCAAUGUUUUUGGUUAGGUUUAACUAAAGUCACUAAUUAUGACUGAACCUAUGACACGUGGGUCCCAGCAUCAGGUUUGACCUGGGCUGACGCUGUUGACCUGAUGACGUCACACUGACGUCAGGCUGACGCAGUAAACCAUUUCUGGAUUAAUAAUAAUCUAGAAAAUUCCAGAAAAUAGUAUAAACUUCUAAAAAUCAUAGAAAUUCAACCAUAACUCCAAAUGAAACAAAUUAUAUAUGAAAAAUUAUCAGAAAAAUUCAAGGAAUCCAUCUGUACCAUUUUCAUGCAUGUUAGAACAACUUAAGGCCACUGUUUAGGACAAAUAAAAUGAAUGGUAUUUAAAUAACCACAUGUGGAGUUUGAAUUUGAACUUUGGGUUCAAACCAACUUCAUUUAAUUGUGUUGCUAGUUGCAUUAGCUCAAUCAACAACAUAUUGCCAUGUCAUUAUCAUGCAUCAUGUUGUGCAUUGCAUUGAUUGUGUUCCUUCUCUGUUGCCUGUGGUUGUCCUCUCUCGAUAGACGUUGUACCGAUGUUGUGAUCGUUGACACUGAUGAAGACCCAAUGAUAUCUUCAGAAGUGUCAGGCAAGCAAAACCCCCUUGUUCAUUCCGAUACAAUCCCACUCUCUUGCUCCUGCUCUUUUUUACUACAUUAGGACAACAACAAUUCAACUGUUACAUGCUGCGGUAGCUGAACCCCUUUCCUCUGCAUGACCUGUCAUUGCCAUAGUAAAUAGAUGAAACCCACUAGCGUGAGUAGGAAUUGUUUGAGCCCUGAUGUGCCUACUCAUUCAUGCUUGUUGUCAUGCCUGCUACUGCUUAGAGUUGAGUCAGGUCUGAUUCAUCGGGAAUGAAUUGGAACGUGGUGAACAUGUCCUACCGUUGAGAGCUAAGUGUGUGAACACGAUUUGGUAAAGGUAGCGGUGAGAGGCCAUGUCGAAGUACAUGGUGGGUUGUCUCAUUGCAGCCAUCCUCAGGAACUGAGUUCUGUGUUUGUGAUCCAUGAACAGUUACUACCACACAUUGGGUUCCGGUAACUCGGCCCCUCUCGGCUUAUUAAUCAACUCGAUCUCUGUCCAGGAGUUGCAACUAGUUUCUGGUGUUUGUAGGUAGUGUUGGUAGUCUACCAAGUGGCACUCGGUACAGGUGGGCUUGGGACAGACUAGGCACAGUGGCACGGUGUACCAAGUGGCACCCGGAUGGUGGGCUUGGGAACCCUGCACACAUCGUUUGGCGCCGUGAGCGACACCCCGGCCGGAUCUCCUUGCGGAUGGAACCCGAAUAGGAGAUAAACCUGGACGAGAGACUUGUUGGUUAGUCAGGUCAUGGCCGACUCCCUCGCCCGGCUUCCGCAUGAAGGUUGCCGAGGUACAUGACGUGUACAUGGCGAUAAGUGGCGAGAGCGUGUGUGAAGAAGUACACCCCUGCAGGGUUAUCAUUAUCUAUUCGAAUAGCCGGAUACCUCGGAUAUGGAAACUUGGACCCCUUGCAUAGUUCAUAGACAAGUGAAAGUGGAUACUCUAAAAUGCGCAAGAUAAGUGUGAGUGCUAUGGAUGGCGUUCUCGUACGGGAACGGGAGCGGAUCCAUAGUGGUGUAUUGGUAUGGUGAAUUUGUGGACUCGUGUGCGUCACCUCAAAAGAGUUACUUGCAGUCGUAGUUCAGGUUAGCCACUGAGUCAAAGCUGGCUUGCUGUAGUUAAACUCCACCACCCCCUUUGUUGAUACCGAUGCAUAUGUAGAUAGUUCUGAUGUAAGUCUUGUUGGGUACAUUUGUACUCAUGUUUUCCUAUUUUAUGUUUUUGCAGAGAGACGUCAGUCUCGCUAGUAGUGCCACGUGGACUUCGACGUUUAACUUGUUACCUCAGCUACGAUCUUGUACCUUGGGAGGGUCUUGUAGAUAGUCAGGCUUCUCAGCCUUCUUCAUUUGUAGUUGUCUGUACUCAGACAAGUUAAGCUUCCGCAUGUGCUUGUUGCUUGUAUGCUCUGUAUGUUGGGUCAUGAGACCCAUGUUUGUAAUAUCUCGCUCCUCGGAGCCUAAUGAAUAAAUACUCUGAGUCGUAGAGUCUUGUUGUGAUGCCAUGUUGUAUUGCACAUAUUGAGCAUAUUGUGUGUAUGAUUGAAAUGCUUGGUAUGUGUGGAAAUGUAGUCUUGUGCUUCCAUGAGCCAUAGUAGUCCGCUACAGCCCGGUUCACCGGAGUCCUGCUAGCCCAGCACUAUUGCUCCGGAACACUUGACUGGCCGGCAUGUGAUUCACUUCGUUCCUGUGUCUGUCACUUCGGGGAAAUGUCACGCAGUGACAUCCGGAGUCCUUCCUAGCCUGCUACAGCCCGGGUUCCCGGAGUCCUGUUAGCUCAGUGCUACAGCCCGGAUUCACACGCUGCAGACCGACAUGCUCGAUGUUGAUUCAUGUAUGCCUGUUCCCGUAAGUUAGUGCCACUUUGGGUUCACGACUAGUCAUGUCGGCCCGGGUUCUCUGUCAUAUGGAUGCUAGCGACACUAUCAUAUAUGUGAGCCAAAAGGCGCAAACGGUCUCGGGCCAUGGCAAGGCGACACCCGUGGGAAUACCGUGCGUGAGGCCGCAAAGUGAUAUGAGGUGUUACACGCUAGAUCGGUGUGACUUAGAAUCGGGGUCCUGACAUAGGCGCUCCCGUUGAACUACUCCCCCACUAGGACCCCCCCUAAGGAGGGGGGGCGCCAACUCCACUUGGGCCUUUGUGGCCCAAGUUGCCUUACAUCUCUUGGCCUUUUAAGGCCCGUUGAUAUUUCAUUAAAUGUAAAAGUCUUCUAAUAAUUACUACAAUCUUUUAUAUAUAAUUUAACAUCACCAGAAACAUUUUCCACCUAUAUAUUAAUUAUUGGGAAUACCCGGUAUUACCCGAUAAACUCUAAAACCCUUCUGGUGACCCCGAAACACUUUCGGUCCCUCUUGAAACUAUUCUGAAUACAAUUCCACACACGAAAUCUCGAUACUCUCAUCCUACUAACACUCAGUAGAUCGUGAUGACCUUAAUCUUCUGACCCCAUAGGUUCGGUAAUCACAUACAUGAAUGAAAUCCCUUCGUUCAAUGACCGAUAGCGGAACCAUGGACGUCCAUAUCAAUCCCUAUGACUACAUGAAUGACAUUCGAGUGAACCUUUUGGUUACUAUGUGAUGUUCCCUUUGCUAUGUGUUGUUUCCUUUGCUUCUCAAUGCUUUACAAAACCCAUGAUGCAUCGGUACCCUCCUGAGUCAUGCACAUGCUCACUAUACCGUUGACCUCAUUGCCGGUUUGUUCUUAUUUCUCGUUUAAAUGUUCCAGCAUCCCCGUGACGUUGUCACCUAUGUCUGCCAAACGACGAUGGAUGUCGUCACAUUGGGAGGGCCCUAAGAAUAUCUCUCCACGUCAGAGGAGCAAAUCCCACUCUUCAGCUAUCCAGUCCCUUGUCAAACUUUUUGAUGAACCUGUAAGUUGUCAUUACGAUCACCUAGUUAUGGAUGACAUUUGAGCUACCCCAAAGUACACCGUACAGUAGGAAGUGACUACGAUACUCUCAUGGUCUGAGGAACUAAAACACAUGCUAACACUCUAUGUUAUAACAAUUCAUUUCAUACGAUAUUAUCUCAAAGUAUAACAAACAAGUUUGUGUCGUUUCAAUAUGAUCGUUCUUCUAACCUCAUACUCUUAGUGUCGUUUUAGGACUAUCCUUACACUUAACGAUAUCCUAAGAUCCAGAAAACAUGAUCACCAACAACACGUGAGCCAGUCCUAGAGGCAAGACCGGGAACCUAUAUUAUACUAUUUAUCACUUCACACGUGCAUACUUUUCCACUGAAUCACAUAUUCCAAAAUCAUAGCAGUUGUAGCAUGAAACAUAAACUCUUAACCAUGAAAAUGGAAAUAUAAUAAUAUAAUAUUAUUACCUCUAGGGCAUAUUUCCAACAAUCUCCAACUUGCACUAGAGUCAGUAAUCUAGUUUACAUAGUCUCUCUAACAUCUAUUGAAAGCACAAGUUCUCCCUUUGGUGGUUUUGGUAAUUAAUGUCAACAUAUAUUUCGUUGGACAAAUAGUUUUUAUCUAGUAUAUUUUAGAUAAUUUCAAAAGUAUCAUGGCAAGGACAAGAGGAUGUGGAACUCCUUCAAAAUGUUAAGGAGAUGGAUUGGCAAAAGCUCAAGACUCUACUUUUUUUUGUUAAGUGAUCCAAGAUCACAUUGAGUCCAUAGGAAAGCCAAUACUAUUAAAAGGGGAUGAGGUGUUACUUAAUGGUGUUUUUGCUCGAGUGCUUAGUGACAUUACUCCAAAACCCUCAACCACUUUCUCCAUCCAAAUAUGCCCAAACCUUACAUUCCAACUCGGCCCCACCGAAAUUUCCUCUCUGUAGCCACCGAGUUCAUUUGGACUUAGCCACUGCCAAACCCUAACAAAUCGGAUCCACCGAUAUGGAUCUCGAUCCCACCGAGAUGGCCCUGAUAGCUUUCUGUUGCUAGUUGCAAUUGUUUUGGUCCCACCGAGAAUUGCAAUCGGUACCACCGAGAUGGCUUGCCAACUCUCUGUUGCCUUAUUGCUUCACUUCGGUCCCACCGAGUUGAUGCAACCGGUGCCACCAAGACAUGGUUUGCCCUAGCCAUUGCACAUCAGUCCCUCCGAGUUGUUCCAGUCGGUCCCACUGAGAUUCCUAACAUUCAUAUCUUUUACACAGGUCGUUGCCACUGAGAUUUCUGAUCAGUGCCACCGAGUUGGGUCAAAGUGUGUAAUGGUUGGAUUUUGUGUGGAGGCUAUAUAUAUAUAAAUAUAUAUAUACCCCUCCACCCCUUCUUCCUCAGAUAAGAGAGCCAUUAGAACAUGCCUACACUUCCACCAUUCAUUUUCUGAGAGAGAACCACCUACUCAUGUGUUGAGAUCAAGAGAUUCCAUUCCUACCAUUUGUACCUUGAUUCCUAGCCUUUCCCAAGUUUCUUUCCACUCAAAUCCUUCUUCCACCAUAGCCAAAUCUGUGAGAGAGAGUUGAGUGUUGGGGAGACUAUCAUUUGAAGCACAAGAGCAAUGAGGUCAUCAUCAACACACUGUCUAUUACCUUUUGGAGAGUGGUGUCUCCUAGACUGGUUAGGUGUCACUUGGGAGCCUCCGACAUGAUGUGGAGUUGAACCAAGAAGUUUGUAAGGGCAAGGAGAUCGCCUACUUCAUGAUGAUCUAGUCGAGUGAGGCAAGUCCUUCAUGAACGUUGGCCAUGUUGGGGUAGACAAGGUUGCUUCUUCGUGGACCCUUAGUGGGUGGAGCCCUUCGUGGACUUGCGCAGCCAUUACCCUUCAUGGGUUGAAGUCUCGAUCAACAUGGACGUACGAUAGCACCACCCAUCGGGACCAUGCCAAAAAUCUCCAUGUCUCUAUUGCGUUUGCACCCUCCAAUUCCCAUCCCUUUACAUUCUUGCACUUGCAUGAUUUACUCUUUCCUCUGCUCAUACUCUUGCUAUGCUUGUGUAAAAUGUAUUGUGUGCCCAUUAACACAUGCUAAAAUCAACAUUAACUUCAAGGAACUAAAAACUGCCACUUUUACUUGUUAAGGGUUUAAUCACCCCCUCUAGACCCCUCUUCUCGAUCCUUUCAAUUGGUAUCAGAGCAUUGAUCUCCAUUGCUUUGGUUUAAUCACCAUUGAAGGAAGAAGGAUGAGUCUAGUUCAGGAGUAUUAGACAUAGAGUGCCUAUUCUUGAUGGGGAGUUUUGUGGUUCUUGGAAAAAAUGAAAUGCUUGAGAUCUUCAGUGAAUAUAAUUUGAGAAGUAUAUUCUUAGCUCUUAUGUGCCUCCCAUUGAUCCUUUACAUCCUACCCCCAAUGAGUAUCUUGACAUGCUUCACAAUCUUAGAACUAUUAAUAUUAUCAUUAGAGGAUUGCCUAGAAAUGAGCUUGUUUGGUUGCAAAACUUUAAAUGCGCAUACACUAUAUGGAAUUACCUUGAGGAAUGCUUGCCAAACUAUUCCUUGAAAAAUAUGAAUGAAAUUCCUCAAAGGUCCAUUGCUUUUCACAAGAUGAAGCCUAGUGAUCCCAAGUUUGAUGAAUGUCUAUUUGAGCUCCAUGACCUUAUGCGUGUUAAGGGUGAUGUUGGAACCAUUAGCAACAUCAUCACGGAAAAAAUUAGAAUUCAUAAACUUGCACAUUGGCAUGGUCAUAAAUCUAACAAAUCACUUGAACUAGGUGAUUAUCACAUGCAUAAUGAUGAGAUUGAGCAUGGUUAUUAUGAUGAGGAUGAAGAAUUCGACAUCGAGUGUGAGAAUACUAUGAGGAAUCUUAGUCUCAUGGAAAAUCUUCAAAAUUACAUAUCCAUAGGAAAAGAGUGGAUUCUUGAUAGUGGAUGUACCGAUCACCUGGCCGGAGAUAAAGACAUGUUCCCUGAGCUUGCCGAAAAUGAUGGUCGACGUAAGUAUGUGACUUUUGGAGACAACUCCAAGGGUAAGGUACUUGGCCUUGGUAAGGUGACUGUCGUGGUUUUGUCAUGGCAGAUGUCCUAAUGUGAGGACUUAGUCAUGAGGCCAUCGCAACUAGGAGGUUAGCUUGUUGGGGUUGAGCGGAAUCGAGAGACACGAAUUUACCCAGGUUUGGACCCUCAGGAUCGGGGUAAUAGCCUACUCCUGCUUGUUUGCUCAUUGCUUUAGAUAUCAAUAGAAGGGAACAAAUUGUUUGACCUAGCUAUUGUUCGAUUGUAACUUAGUCUAUCUGUCCCUGAGACCCGCCUUUAUAUACAGGUCGAGACCCAAGGCUUUCAAGAGUCCGGGUCACAUUACAAUCCGUGACUUAGUAUGUAUCUAACUUGUCCCUUAAGGAAACUAUUGACGACUUAGACCUCAAGGCCGCAAGCCACCGUCUUCGGAUGUUAGGCUUGAGCCGGCCCACUCCAUGAGCCUCCCAACUGGUCUUGCUUCGGGGUGCCUUGGCCCAUCUUAAGUCCUGCUCCUUAGCCGCCAUCUGGAUGACCCGACCCAAACAUGGCGGGUUAUAUCCCCAACAUUAGGCCCCAGAUUGAUUUGAAUUUAUUCAUGUCAAUCUCCAGCACUCAACCAGGCGGUUUAUCUUCUGGCCCGGUCCUCAUCUUCUUCGGGUCAUAAAAUGCCACCUUAUAAUACUUCUAGACUUGUUAUUUUUCACAUCUCCUCAUUGCUGACGUCAUGUCCAAAAAUCAAGGGAAAUCCAAGAUGACAUCACACAGGAUCUUUGUGCAUAUCCAAUUAUCCCGAAAAUUGAGGCAUCUUGGGCUCCAAAAGUUACUAUGCUCCCUUGUUUCUCGCGGCUACCAUUUACUCUUCGGUUUCUUUAUCUUAUAAAUAGAUGCGGGGCCCCUCUUUUCAUCUUUUACCUCACCCCCAUUCGCCUCUUCUUCUUCCUUGAGCUCCUUCACGUCAGACCACCACCAUCGCAAUUCGCUUGUCGUGAGCCAACCGGUCUGGGACCUCUACGCCGUCCUGCCUCCGCCGGAGCUUGGUCGAACAAUCUCACCGCCCUUCUCAGCCAUCAAGGUACACUAUCCUUCCCUCCUUAGAUCUAUAUAGUUUGCUCGGUAGUUCGACUGAGUUCAUCGGAUUCCAUCCAUCACCAUUGCUAGUUUAGGCAUAGUUAUAAUGAGAUUUCCUCACAAAAACAUGACAGUAUGAGCAUCGACACCAUUUUCGCAUCCGGCUAUUUUAGAUCUCCUUUAAGAAAACCAAUAAGCUAGGCAACUUCUGUUCCAAUGCUUCGUCCUAGGUUUAGCAAUAUCUUUGCUUUUUAGACUGUUAUGUAGAUCCAACAUUUCAACUACUCCGGUAGAAACUUGUUUGUAUCACACUUAGAAGAAAUCUAGAAAACCCUCCAUUUAAUAUGAAACGCCUUUAUGCAGUCUGGCGGCUCAUCAUUGUGAUCGUAACCCGCUAGAUAUUUUAAGAUAUUUUAAUCUGCCCGGGUCAAAAUUCUUUCGGGAUGUCUUAAGCUAUUUUAACCUUCAUUCUCAAGACCUUGCUCCAAACUCCAUCUCUAAUAUGUGCCAAUUUCAAAUUGUGUGCGAGGUGUAUCUUCAAAUGGAACCCACCGAUCCUCUCUUUAAAGAAUUCUUCUAUAUCAACCGCCAAACAGAAUUUACCGAUGGCCCUUAUCUAGAACUCAGCGGAGUCUGAAUUCAAAGACAGAGAGAUGGUUGCUUUCCUCUAAUCAUCCUUCCAAGUCACCCCAAAGGAUGGAUAAAAACUUGGUUCUACUACAGAAACACAACUGUAGCUAGGGAGAAUCCUUGCUGGGUUAUAGACCUGAAUGUCUUCCUAUGGAUUUUGAUGUUCCUAGAUGGGUUAUUCCAUAAGAGCAUGCUCAAACCGCCCUGGCUUAUACAAAUCUCAGAGCCUUGCUAGCUGAUGGUUUGACCGAGGUUGAUAUAACCCGAUGUUGGGUCACCUGGAGGAUCUUACCAUUGAGUUGCCGUAGUGGUCUAAUGUGCAAUUAUUCCAGCGGUUUAGAAGACCCCCAAUGAUGCAUCAAUGUUGAUCUUGAUGCUGAUGAAAUACCUAAGAUUGUGAAGAAAUUACUUGGAGAGUCUCAAGACGCCUGCAACAAAGUGGGGCUGAACCCUUUCUGCAAACUUAACCCGACACCUCUAGUAAGUAUAUACAUAAUCAUUUGUCAUGCUUAUCAGUCUUUAUCUAUCCAGUGUUUUCACUUGCUGGCUUUGUUCAAUUAUGCAGGACGAUUCUCCCUUUUGGAAGAGGAAGAAAAUGCAGGUGACCAAGACAAAGACUACGCCGGAUCAGAGGAAGAAAAAGUCUACUGCUGCGGAUGAGCCGAUGGCUAGGGGCGAGACGCCACAAGCUGACAAUCAGUUAGAGGUAGAGCUGACUCCCUUGGCCAUCUCUUUAUUGAACUUGCUGAUGCCUCUUAUUCUCAAGGUGAGGUCGCAACAAGCCGGGCUGAUGAUGUUGAGGCAAUUUCCAUCUCCUCCGGCUCAGAAUCCUUGCCUCCCAAGAUCACUAGGUGGGUUAUCCGGAAAGUAAGCUUUUCUCAUCCAAAUGCUCAUUUAGACCUCAACUUUAUUUUGAAGAAACCUUAGCAUGACUCGAUGCGCCUAACUUUGAGUGGUGGCUCUGGAGAUCUGGUGGCUAGGUUAACUCAUGAACCACCUGCUCGCAAGUGGCGUGAUGAGGUGCCACACAGUCCAACUCCUUCUUUACCCAAAGCCGGCCUUGUGAGGAAGCCUCUUAAUCCUUCUAACUCAAAUUAUCAGGAGUCAUCACCCUCAUCCGACGAGUCAACCGCUUCGAAGCUGCCACCUCUUGUUAUUAAUAAAGGGUAAAAUUCUUUUAUAUCAUGUACCACUUAAUUUUUAUUAGAAUCGCAUAUAUCUUGAUUGCACUGCUUUGUUCACAGGGCCAAGGCUAAGAGCGAGAAAAGAAAAGUAGGAAAGUCUUCAAUAAACCCAGACAUUCCCGAGUCAGAGAAUCAGACCUUGGUGACCCCUGAGGCCCAUGCUGAUAUUUCUGAAGGUCGUCAUGUCAGUCAUGUUGAGCCGCCGCAGCAAAAUGAAAUGGCUGGAACUAAGGCUAUGGAUACCGAAACCAACCCGGUGAACAACCUUAACCCGCCAAGUCAUGCUCCGACUCUGAAUCCCACCAAGCCAACUCAAGAUGUUCCUCUUGAAAAGGAUAACGAUGAAGUUACCAUUAUGGGUGAGGCUUAUAAACCUCCAGAGGUAUCCAAUGUGCUAACCAAGACAACAACCAAAAUUGAAGCGCCCUUGUCUGAAAAGGGGAAAACCAAACUUGAACUGCCCAUCUAUGAAGAGUUCAGCGCAGAGGAAUUACAUGCAGGCUAUCUGAGCCGCCUCUCUAUGAACCAGGAUCUGGAAGCCGACUUGGUCAGCAUAAUGAAAUGAAAACAUGAGGUACACUCAUCUUUUCCAGUAUUAUAUAUAUCCUGAUGUAGCCCCCAAGUCUUAAUCAUAGGAAGACUUGAGUAUGUUUAAGACUUAAAUAUAAUUCCGUUGAUCUUGCAAUGUAGACCCCAAGGGUCGGGUUAUCAUGCCAUUGAUGAGCCAGUUCUUUCCAAUAUAUCCUUUAUGAAAAGAAAUGUCAUGUAGCCCCAAGGGCCGGCUCAUCUUCAUGAGAUGAGUCGGAUCUUUCCAUAGUAGUAUACUUUGAGGAAUUAACCUGUAGCCCCAAGGGCCAGCUCAUAUUUAUGAGAUGAGCCGGGUCUUUAAUAAGACUGUGAAGAACUAACCUAUACCCCCAAGGGUCGGGUCAUGUUCUUGAGAUAAGAUGGGUCUUCUUGUAUUCUUUAAGGGAGAAAAAUGAGAUGCAUUAGCCCCCAAGUGCAAAGUAUAUUGCUUGCAAUCUGCUUGGGACUUCUCUUUUGAAAGUGAAUUGGUAUAGCCCCCAAGUACCGAGUUAGACAUUGUUGCCCUCUUACUUCAACAUGUGUUAAAUGACUUAUCUCCUUGUUAUGCAGGAGGCUCUAAGCAUGGCCGAGUCAAAUUUGACCGGCUUAAGAAAAGACUUUGAAUCUGAGCAGGCUAUGAAGCAAGGCUGAAUCAAGCUUGCAAUCCUCCCUGGAGGAGUUGGAGAAAAUCAAGGUGGACUUUGAAACAGAGAAGAAUUCCUUUGAAACUGAAAAAGUUGCCUUGAUCCGACAUGCAAAAGCCGCCGAAAGCCAAUUGGCACCGGUCACUGAGGAGUUGGCCGGGUUAAAGUGCCAUAUUACUCAAAUGACUCAAGCUAUAUUUGGUAAGUCGUCUCUCAAAUUACAAAGAAACAUUAACUCUGGCAACUCAUCCAUGAGUAACAUCUCGCCCGACAACUCAUCCAUGAGUAAUAUCUCGCCUGGUGACUCACAUAUUGCAACUUCUGUGCCGGUGAUAGAACCUUCCAGCUCCAAGACAACGUCAUGAAGCUGAAAGCCGUAUAUUUGUUGGUAGAGAAAUUAUAUGCUGGAAAUAUGCAGACCCUGAGAGCUGUAAUGGGUGAAAAAGACUUGCCACAAUUCAUAAAAGAUGUUUUGAAGAGGCUGUCAACUAUUCCAUAGCAGGUCAAAGAGCUAAAAAGAUUACCCGCCCGAUCAGGAGCCACAACCGCGCUAAGCUGGGCUAUGGCUUACUCACCAGAGCUGGAUCUGUCAGAGAUGGCCGGUGGGUUCCCAGAAUAUAAAGACGAUGGGACUGCUUUUACUCAUGAUGAUUACGCACGUCGUGUAAAGGAAUCUUGAGUACUGGUGAGUUAGCUUGUCGCCGGCAUGGAACUUAGGAAAUAUCAGCCGACUUAUGAUGGCAAUAACAUGAGAAUUCCGUCACCAACACUGAUAUCAUCUGAUCCGACUCCACAAUGAAGUAAGUAUCGCUUUGUACCUAACGUUGACCCAUCUCCUAUCUUGCACGGCGAAGCUGUCUUCCAAGCCUUAACAUAUGUCAACUGGCAUCUGGACCCUCAGUUCCAAGAAGCAGAAGAGCCGGGUGUAGGGUAACCCGGCGGCGUCAACUUCUCGGGGUCAUCAAGGGGCUAACCCGGAUGGCACAGAGGCCAGCUUACAAGAGUAGUUUAUACUCUGGCAAAAAACUUCGAAUAUUCUAGGCUCACCUAUAGCUAUGUAAUAGGCUUAGCGGAAAUACUGUGUUGCUCUUGUCAUGCCUUCGUGCACGUUGAACUUUUGUUCAAACAAUUAUCCAUCCGCCAUUUUAAAAUGUUUGUAUUAGUGCAUGCUUACCUGACCUGUCAUGGGCGUCUUGUGUUUGAAUAUCAUGCAGCCAUUGCUUUCAAUUCUUUUCAUAAGUCGCUUGUAGCAACCUGUAAGUGCAGAUACCUCUGACAUGUGCAAAAAAUUCCACCAAGUCAUAACUGGUGUGUGAUGUCUACUACGCAACUUUAUUCUUGUAGACACGUGAUGGGCCUCCAAGUGUAGAGUUUUGUAGGACAGUAGCAAUUUUCCCUCAAGUGGAUGACCUAAGGUUUAUCACUCCGUGGGAGGUGUAGGAUGAAGAUAGUCUCUCUCAAACAACCCUGCAACAAAAUAAUAAAAAGUCUCUUGUGUCCCCAACACACCAAAUACAAUGGUAAUUUGUAUAGGUGCACUAGUUCGGCAAAGAGAUGGUGAUAUACGUGUAAUAUGGAUAGUAGAUAUUGAUUUUUAUAAUAAAAACAAUAAAAAACAGCAAGAUAGCAAUUGAUAAAACGGAGCACAAACGGUAUUGCAAUGCUUGAAUAUGAGGCCUAGGGUCGGUACUUUCACUAGUGCAAUCUCUCAACAAUGCUAAUCUAAUUGGAUCACAUAACCAUCCCUCAAUGUGCGAUGAAGAAUCACUCCAAAGUCCCUAUCUAGCGGAGAACAUAAGAAGAAAUUGUUUGUAGGGUACGAAACCACCUCAAAGCUAUUCUUUCCUAUCGAUCUAUCCAAGUGUUCGUACUAAAAUAACAACAAAUAAUUUCAGAUUCAUAAUACUCAAUCCAACAUAAAGAACCUCAAAGAGUGGCCCAAGAUUUCUAGCGAAGAAAUAAAGAAAAGAAUGUGCAUCAACCCCUAUGCAUAGAUUACCCAAUUGUCACCUCGGGAAUCCGCGAGUUGAGUGACAAAACAUAUAUCAAGUGAAUCAACACGGUACCCCAUUUUCACCAUGGGUAUUCAUAUGCAAGACAUAUAUCAAGUGCUCUCAAAUCCAUAAAAGUAUUCAAUCUGAUAAGAACGAAAUCUCAAAGGGAAAACUCAAUUCAUCACAACAAGAUAGAGAGGGGAAAACACCAUAUGAUCCAACUAUAUUAAGAAAGCCCGCGAUACAUCAAGAUCAUGACAUCUCAAGAACACGAGAGAGGGAAAUUGAACACAUAGCUACUGGUACAAACCCUCAGCCCUGAGGGUGGACUUCUCCCUCCUCCGGCGGAUGCCAGGAUGAUGAAGAUGGCCACCGGUGAUGAUUUCCCCCUCCGGUGGAGUGCCGGAACAAGGUCUAGAUUGGUUUUUGUGGCUAUAGAGGCUUGGGGUGGCGGAACUUAUGAUCUAGGGUUUCCUUCGGAGGUUUUGGAAUAUUUGGGAAUUUAUAGGGCGAAGAGGCGGUGCGGGAGACCACCGAGUUGGGCACAGCCCACCAGGGCGCACCUGGGCCUCCAGGCGCACCCAGGUGGGUUGUGCCCCCUCGGGCACCCCUCUUGUACUUCUUUGGCCCACUGGAUGUCUUCUAGUCCAAAAAAAUCUCCAAAAAGUUUCACCGUGUUUGGACUCCGUUUGGUAUUGAUUUUCUGCGAUGUAAAAAACAAGCAAAAAGCAACAACUGGCACUGGGCACGAUGCCAAUAGGUUACUCCCAAAAGUGAUAUAAAGUUGCUAUAAAAUGAUUGUAAAACAUCCAAGAAUGACAAUAUAACAACAUGGAACAAUACAAAAUUAUAUAUACGUUGGAGACGUAUCAACCUCCCCAAGCUUAAUUCCUGCUUGUCCUCGAGUAGGUAAAUGAUAAAAACAGAAUUUUUGAUAUGGAAUGCUGCCUAACAUGUUCAUCACAUAUUCUUUUCUUUUGUAGCAUGGACAUUUGGACUUUUAUAUGGUUCAAAGCAAUAGUAUAGUUUUGACAUGAAGAUUUCAAUACUCAAGCAUAUCAACAAGGAAUCAUGUCUUACAAAAUAUCAAUACUAAAGAAAGUUAUCCCUAGCCCAUCAUGCUUAAUCAUUGAUCCAUUCAUGAAACACACUCGCAUAUUAGCUACAUCCAAUGCUCAAGUAUGAUCAUAGUGCCCCUUAGUUGGUGUUUUAUGAGAGAAGAUGGAGACUCAAAUAAAAAUAAAAAUUGCAUCAAGUAAAUAGAAAGGCCCUUCACAAAGGGAAGUAGGGAUUUGUAGAGGUGCCAGAGCUCAAAGCAAAAAAUGAGAGAUAAAACAUUUUGGGUGGCAUGCUUUUCCUAUCAACGAAAAUGAUCGAGUAGUUCCCAAUACUUUCCAUGCUAGAUAUAUCAUAGACAGUUCCCAAAUAGAAAAUAAAGUUUAUUCCUUGUCCACCAUUCUUUCAGAUUCCACGGCUAGCGGAAUCCACGGGUACCGUCCAUACUAACACUUUCCAAGGAAUUUAUUAUUUGACAACAUAAAGUAAUUUUCUUUUCAUCCCGGGACUGGGCAUCCCUAAUACCUUUGUCAUACUCUCGUGCAAUGACAAGUGAAUAAACACUCAUCUUGAGAAUAACACAUCUAGCAUGGAAAAAUAUCAGCCACCCCCUACCAUUUCAUGAGCGGUACGAGCACACAAAAAGGAAAUUUAUUUUGAAGAUUAGAGAUGGCACAUACAAAUUUGCUUAGAACGGAACUGAAAUACCGCAUAUAGGUAGGUAUAGUGGACUCAUGCAGAAAAAAUGGGUUUAAGAAUUUUGGAUGCACAAGUAGUAAUCAUACUUAGUACAAGUGAAGGCUAGCAAAUAGAUUGAGAAGCAACCAACCAAGAAACAAAAAAUCACAUAAACCUGCAUUGAGCAUAACUAACACUGAAUAAUGCACCACAAGCAGGAUGUAAUUUCAUUGCAUAACUAUUGACUUUCAUGCUUGCAUAGGGAAUCACAAACCUUAACACCAAUGUUCUUACUAAAGCAUAAUUACUCACCAACAUGACUCACAUAUCACUAUCAUCAUAUCUCAAAACAAUUACAAAGAAUCAAGUUUAUUUUUCCCAAUGAUCUUCAUGAAAGUUUUUAUUAUAUCCCUCUUGAAUAUCUAUCACUUUGGGACUAAUUUCAUAAGUUUCUUUUAUAAGCUCAAACAAAUUUAAGUGAAGAACACGAGCAUAUGACAAACUACUCCAAAAAGAUAUAAGUGAAGAUCAAGCGAGUAGUUAAGUGAAUGGGUAGCUAAUUGAGGACUCUCUCUUAUUUAAAAAAAAUUCAGAUCUAAGUAUUUUAUUAAAACAGCAAGCAAAACAAAAAAAUGACAUUCCAAGAAUAGGACAACUCAUGUGAAGAAGCAAAAACUUAGGCUCAACCGAUACUAAUCGAUAGUUCUCGAUGGAGAAAGGUGGGAUGCCUACCGGGGCAUCCCCAAGCUUAGAUGCUUGAGACUUCUUGAAAUAUUAUCUUGGGAUGCCUUGGGCAUCCCCAAGCUUGAGCUUUUGUGUCUCGUUAAUUCCUUUUAUAUCACGGUUUCCCUAAAUCUUAAAAACUUCAUCCACAUAAAACUCAACAAGAACUCGUGAGAUAAGUUAGUAUAAAUCAAUGCAAAACCUUAUCAUUCUCUACUGCAGAAAAUCACUAAAAUUAUAAUUUAAGAUUUUAUACUAAACUAGUAAAUGUGCCCGCGCGUUGCUACGGGUCGUUGUCGACAAGGGACAUAGAUGAUGGUCAAGAAGCCUCACUCUCACUCGAUGUCAUACUGCCACCCCUCCUACAGCUACUACGUUCAGGUGGAAGAACUGUGGUUGGAUAGGGAGGGAUAGGGAGGAGUACUUGGAGAAGUUUGAACAAAUGCCUUCGUUAUUAAUUCUAGUCUUGAAUGAUGCAUCGGUGUAACCUUCAUUUGUAAAUGUUCAAAAGAAACAUCUUGAGUGCUCUCAUAAAGCAUGAUUAUCUCUAUAUCAAUUCUUAAAAUGGGAGAGUCACCUUUGUGAAUUCGGGUCAACUCAUAAAUGUAGUGAUUGUAAGGGACACUUGUGUGCUUGCUAAGAUAUACAACCAAGGGUGGAGCCAGCUCAUUGCCAUUGGGUUCAAAUGAACCCAACAAAAAGAAUUAUAUUCCUUAUGAAAUCACGGUGGCUUAAGGCUAAGGAAAGAAACCCAUUGGUUGGAGCUACUACAAAUUCACACACCCGAGCUGAAACCAUUUUAUGUAAGAAAUGUGUGUCCUGGCAAGCUCCAAAAGAGUUUAUAUUCGGUGAAGGACACAAACAGCACCAAACCUAAUGGUGCGUGUACAUUGUAAACUUUAUGCAUAAGGUAACACACAUGAAUAGAUUUAGCAUGAUUACUGCACUCCCAACUUUUUCAUGGUUGCCCAACAAAGAAAAUGAAAAAUUGUGUUUCGAUCCUAUUAGGAACUCUCCAAGUUCUAUCAUUAAAUAAUAUCCGAACACUGCUCGUAAGUAAAUUAAAAAUGCUUUCACUACCACAAGGAUAGGUCCAACAUCAAAGAGUUUCCUUUUCACUUCCCCAAUCAAAAGCAACAUAUACUCGCUAAUUCAGUUCAGCAAUAACAGUAAGCUAUGCCAAUCCCUUACAGUUUAUAGCUAGCAGAAUAGACUAUGAUAUCCUACAGAUCUAUCUUGUGUAAAGAAAUAGGUCUUCCAAAUUAAGUAGUGGACUAAAUAUUGAAUUAUUGUUUAUGCUUUUUGGAGUCGGUGACUUGCUAAAUUCCCCAUGUUGUCCAAUUUCUGGAGUGACUUUGCUUUAGUUAAUACAUGCAUCUACUUCUAGUUCUAGUCGGUAUAGUUGAUUUCCAAAAAGAAUGAAGUACCACAAUUUAGUCUUCUUGUCCUAGAAGCUACAACGAUGAAUUACAAAGCAAGAGAGAACAUAUGAUAUACGUCCAUGCCAUCGUGAAUCAGAAUGAUGAGGCUCUAUGCCUAAUUGACACAUUUCUAUGAGUCCAAACUAACCAAGGUCUUAUUAAUUCUGGGAUUCAUAAACUGGAAGCAUUGGGCUACGGUCUCAUCAAGCUUAUGUUAUUGUUUCCAAAGAAUAGAAUUGAACAGGCUCGCUAAAUUCAUUUCACUAUUAUGCAUCAGGAAUCCUUGUUAAAUGUACCUGUCUCUGCAUCUGGAGUGGGUGGUACAGAUUAAGUAUUCAAUAAAAACAUGUUUAUCCACCCGGAGUCCUUGGUCCUUGUAAGAACUUCAGUUUGUGAUAAUUUCAGUGAAACGAUCGUAAAUCUUCUGAAAGUAAGAUAUAAAUAAGGGAUAUGAAGAGGGGAAAAAGCAUAUACACUAAUUUUGAAUGUAAAUAACUCUUCAAAAUUAAGUAAUUGCUUAAAUACUAUAGAAAAAAUGCACUUUCAAAGCUGGUGACUUGCUAACUUCCCUCUCAUCCUGCUACCAGUCAAUAGACUGUGUGAAAUAAAAUAAAAGAAACAACUGAACCGCACGUGCUACAUAUGCGGUAUACCUCUGGACAUAUGCCAAGAUGCAACUAAAUUGCAGUACAUUUUUCUGCUGUGGUGCGGUAUACCUCUGGAUAUAUGCUAAAAUGCAACUAAAUUGCAGUACAUUUUUCUACUAUGGUUCAAGCUGCAUGUUUCCUACUUCCUACCUCAGCCAAAGAAAUAGUUUCAAGUCAGUUCUACCUAGCUGCAUUGCCUAUGUCUGAAACCCAAUAUACGAUUGAUAUUCCCAGCUACAUUGUCUAUGUCUAAAAACCAACAUACGAUUGCCUUAUGUGCUAGAUUCUCAAGAGAAGUUUUAUUCUCAUUUCUGUAGGAAAUAGAAACAUUAUUACAUAAUGCUCAAGUGGUGCAGAACUGAAGAAUGCAUAAUAAGUUGCAGUACAUUGGGCAACAGAGAAGCUAUGCAUUGGGUAUUAUUUAUCUUCUGAAACUAUAGUACAUACCUUAGGUGAAGCAUGGUAAGACAGAGUUCCAGUGAAGGGUGGAGCACGAGCAGACAAUGUUCCUGCGAAGUUGCCGGAACGGUGAGAUUAGAUGUAUGUCGCAUGUGGCUCGGUCAUUCAGUAGUAUCUAAGGGCCACAUCAGGGACUUCAUCAUGUACAACUUCGUCGAAUGUCGGAGUUCCGCACUUCACCCAUCUGGAAGUGGAGCCGAGGGGACUCGUGCCAUCCCUCAACAUGGGACAUCAGCCAGGUGGCCAGGUUGGUGACGAUGUAUCUCUCACAUUCAUCUCGUACGGCCAAUAUCUCAUCGUGUCCAAACAAUUAAUCUCCUCAUGCCUAAAUCAUCUUAAGCAUACUGCACAAAGACCAAGGUGAACAUUUGAAAGUUCAGUUACUUCUAGUGAUGCUUCACAUAGCAAGCAAUAAUAUCCUAUGACCAUGCUUGCAUAUCAUGAAUCCACGAGGUUGGUCAAUAGCUCAUCUUGUCUAGCUCAGCUUUGACUUGAGUUUGUCAUAGUCACUAAACUUUGACAAUCCACAGAUCUAUCAAGUACAACAUCUUGCUUAUGAAACCGCAAUACCAUGGAAUAUAUCAUAUGAAUUAAUCUCAUGAAGUUGCUGCUGGAAGCGUGUGAACCAACAAAUAAGCUAGACACAUCCGCAAAAAUCAGCCAACGCUCAACAAAGUAGAGCUAGAUUAAUGAAGUUUGACAGGAGGCCUAAGAUUUGGGGGAGCCCAUGGACGGAAGAUGCAUAUGUGAAGGGAAAGAAGUUGAGAUCCGACAAGACAGGCCGCCAGCCAUACAUGGACAAAUGGAUCCUUCGACCAUUCGAUUCACUGCUGCUGGGUGUGGAGCAUGUUGUGGCGCUCGUGGACGCCGACGACAGCGUGUACCACCACACGCUGGAGGAGGCAAGGUUCUCACCGCCGCGCCCUCUCUACUUUCCUCUGUCCCCCUCUUUCUUGAUCCAGGCCAAGAAUGAAGGAGGGAUGUACUGGGGCCGCCGGAGAAGCACCGGCGCAACUCUACCCGAAACCCUAGCCAUGGGGUGGGGUUGCGAGCGGGUCGGUAGAGGCCAAGAGCGGAGAAUCUGGCCGGAAGGGAGGAAGGCGCAGACUGUGGGGAGCUCGGCGGAAGCGCCCGACGUGGGUGGUGGCGGCGGCCAUGACUUCGUGGGGGAUAGGAACAGGAGGCGAGCCCGUGCUCCUUGUGUCGUCGUUUAUUUAGAAAUCUGUUCGGACCAAGAAAGACGGACCAAGGCCCAACUGGAUCGUAGCCCAGCUAAGCGAACAUAGCAGUCAAUCGAGUCGAUAAUAUUGCAGAGACAAAAUUUAGUACCACCCCGAAUAUGUUUUAAAUUAAAACUGAAAGCGUAAAAUCACGGGAAGAAGCAUAUUGUGACGAUGAACCCACGGAGUCAAUCCAUUCUUUAUUAUUAGGGAAAGAUGCCUUUGCAUAUUUAAUACUCCUAUCCUCAAAUAGAAUCGUUAAACAAGCAAACAUAUGCAAACAAUGCAAACAUAACAACAAUAUGCUAAAACAUGACACUCUGUAAAGAAUGCAAGAGUAUCAAUACUUCUGUAACUCAAAAAAUUCUGAAAAUUUACCACACUAUAGAAACUUUAUCAUAGCUUAUUAUGUAAAAAAUCAUUAUUCUAUCACAUUCUCACUUUUCUCGGGAAUUGUUUCAACAAUGAUAAACUUUCUGUUUUGAAACAGCAACAUGUAGACUUGCAAGAUAAGCAUGGUAAAGGCUAUCCUUGACAUUUUUAUUGAAAUAAAAGAUGCAAAACGUUAUUCUAAAUAACAACAAGCAAAUCCUAUCAAAAGCAAAUGACGCUCCAAGCAAAACACAUCUCAUGUGACGAAUGAAAACAUAGCCUCAAGUAAGGUUACCGAUAAUGUUGGAGAUGAAAGAGGGGAUGCCUUCUGGGGCAUCCCCAAGCUUAGUUUCUUGGAUCUCCCUUGGAUAUUAACUUGGGGUGCCUUGGGAUUCCCCAAGCUUAGGGUCUUCUCACUCCUUAUUCUCCUCAUAUCAACAUCUCACCCAAAACUUGAAAACUUAAAUCACACAAAACUUAAUGGAACUUCAUGAGAUAGGUUAGUAUGAUAAAGAGCAAACCAUUUCACUUUGGUAUUGUCAAAGACAAGAUUCAUUAUUAUUUCCACAAAAUACCUACUGUACUUAUCAUUUCCACAAUUUAUAUUGAGCAAUAUAAUCCAUAGGAACUAGGAAACAAGCAAACUAUGCAUUGAAAACAAAAUUUGUCAAAAAACAGAACAGUCUGUAUUGAUCUGGAUAACUACCAUACUUCUACUACUCCAAAAUUCUGAACAAUUAGGACAACGCAGGCAAUUUUUUUGUCAAUCAUCUGUUAAAAUUUGAGAAUUUUAUCACGUUCUAGUGAAUUUAAACAAUUUUGUUUCUGGAAGCAAAAGUUUUUGUUUUUUGCUCAGAAUCAAGUCAACUAUCAUCCACACUAUCCGAAAGGCUUUACUUGGCACUUUAUUGAAACAAAAGCUAUAAAACAUGAUUAAUACAGUAGCCUAAUCAUGUGAACACACAAAAAUAAUAGGUAAAAGUGUUGGGUUGUCUCCCAACAAGAACUAUUCUUUAAUGCCUUUGAAGCUAGGCAUGAUGAUUUCAAUGAUGCUCGCAUAAAAGAUAAGAAUUGAAACAUAAAGAGAGCAUCAUGAAACACAUGGCAAGCACAUUUAAGUCUAACCCACUUCCUAUGCAUAGGGAUUUUGUGAGAAAAUAAUUUAUGGGAGCAAGAAUCAACUAGCAUAGGAAGGCAAAACAAGCAUAACUUCAAAAUUUUCAACACAUAAAAAGGAAACUUGAUAUUAUUGCAAUACCUACAAGCAUAAGUUCCUCCACCAUAAUAAUUUUCAGUAACAUCAUGAAUGAAUUGAACAAUAUAACUAUCACAUAAAGCAUUCUUUUCAGGAUACAUAAGCAUAGAAAUUUUGUUACUCUCCACAUAAGCAAAUUUAUUCUCAUCAAUAGUGGUGGGAGCAAAUUCAACAAAAUAACUAUCGUGAGAUUGAAAAUUAAAAUCAUGAUGACAAGUUUCAUGGUUAUAAUUAUUCAAUAUAGCAUACAUGUCAUCACCAUAAUCAUCAUAGAUAGCAACUUCUCAUAUAUAACAAUCAAUUGAAACGUCUUCCGAAAUAGUGGAUUCAUCAUUAAAUAAAGUCAUGACCUCACCAAAUCCACUUUCAUCGAUAUAAUCAUCAUAAAUAGGAGGCAUGCAAUCAUUAUAACAAAUUUUCACAUCAAAUAUUGGGGGACUAAAAAUACCAUCUUCACCAAAUGUUGCAUCCCCAAGCUUAUGGCUUUUCAUAUCGUUAGCAUAAUGGAUAUUCAAAGAAUUCAUACUAACAACAUUGCAAUCAUGCUCAUCAUUUAUGCCAAACAUUUUUAUAGAAUUCUUCUUCUAUCAAUUGAGCACAAUUUUCUUUUCCAUCAUUUUCACGAAAGACAUUAUAAAGAUGAAUAAUAUGAUGCAACCUGAAUUCCAUUUUUUGUAGUUUUCUUUUUAUAAACAAAACUAGUGAUAAAUAAUAAACUAAAAGGUUCAAUUGCAAUAUCUAAAGAUAUACCUUCAAGCACUCACCUCCUCGGCAAUGACGCUAGAAAAGAGCUUGAUGUCUACUACGUAACUUUAUUCUUGUAGACACGUGUUGGGCCUCCAAGUGCAGAGCUUUGUAGGACAAUAGCAAUUUUCCCUCAAGUGGAUGACCUAAGGUUUAUCAAUCCGUGGGAGGCGUAGGAUGAAGAUAGUAUCUCUCAAAGAACCCUACAACCAAAUAAUAAAAAGUCUCUUGUGUCCCCAACACACCACUAGUAGAAAAUAGGGCUUUGGUCCAGGUCGGGCCAGCCCAUUGGUCCCGGUUCAGUCACGAACCGGGACCCAUGGGGGCAACGGUCCCGGUUCAUGAGGCCAGGGGGCCGGCCGAACCUCAUGGGGAAUUGGUCCUGGUUCGUCUGGACCCUUUGGUCUCGGUUCCAGACAUGAACCGGGACCAACGGGCCUCGCUCUUGGCUCACAACCGUUGGUUCUGGUUCGUGGCUGGAACCGGGACCAAAGUCCCCUUUGGUCUCGGUUCCAGCCACGAACCAGGACCAAUGAGAUGCCUAUGUAUACCCCCUCGCCCGCGAGCAGAGUAGUGGAGUGCUCGGUUUUUCUGGCCAGCCGUGGGAGAGCUUUGUGGUUCUCUAGCUCACCUCCUAUGAACAUGAGGUGUUCGAUGAAAUGCCCAAGCCACACUUAAGCUUUCUCCGCUCAAAGCUCCUUGUCCAAGCUCCAUUUUCCUCGAGAUUUUUCUAGGUUGGGCAGUCCGUCCUCUCCUGUCCCCGUCCUCACCGCCGUCGAUCGCCCGCGCCGAUCUUGUCGCCGGCACCACCGUGGUGAGCCUCUUGAUCUUAUGUUCUUUCUAAAAGAAAAAAGUUCUUACUUGUAUGAUUUACAUAGAUACUUGUGUACAUAUGAUGGCAGGACUGGUUUCUCAAGUUAAUGACGGAGCCUGUAAGCUAGCAUUUCUGCGCACUCUGCCCUGGAUAUAUAAAGUUUGUGCAGAGAUGACCCAAUGAACCAUCACCUUUUAGUAGAUAAGGAGGUUGUUUUUCUUUUCUUGCACUAGGUGCUCUAUACAGUCAAAUAGUUGGUUACAGGAGAAGUUCAUGUAUAGCGACAACAACAAAGUUCAUGUUGACAUAAAAUAAAGUCCAUGUAUAUGGAAGUUGAUGAUUGUUGUGUGUAUGCAGGGGGGCACACAAAAACCUGUGGCUGACAAGUUUUCCUGUUAUUUAGCCGCAACAAUCUUUCUUGACCUCUUUGACAAUCUUUUACCUUGCUAUAUCUUGCAGAUAGUCGAUUGAAGGGUGUUUUCCUUGAGAGUGGAACCUCAGAGGUAAUAAAAUACGGACAACACCUUCGACAUGGCAAUAUCUUCUUGCAACUUCUAUUGAACUUAAUACCAAGAUAGUAGCCAUUCUUUCAACUUCUGGACUUCAUUUGUAAGAACCAUUCUAGUUUCCUAACAACAUCUCUGCAAUAUUUU